UUUUUUUUUUGUAAAUUCUUAAUUAAUUUGAAAAAGCAAAAAAAAUGGAAAAAAUAAAUAAAAGAAAACUCCCGAAGAAACCGAAAAAAUAAACAACAGGAAACAAAAAGAAUAAAAAUCCAGAAUAUUCUAGAACGUUUCCAGAACUGGAAAAAACGAAGCUGGAACGUUCCCAAAACAAUAAACGAUUGUUUCCAAAUUGACCGGUCCAUCCCGCCUUGCCUAUUGUGUUGGGCCCGUUGCAUGUAACACGUCCAAGCACAUUUGUUUAUUAUUAACAUUCGAAGCUAGCAUGUAGUACUGUUUUGCAUUUCCCCCCUUUUCCCUCUUUUCUUAAUUUUAUUUAUAUUUUGAAGUGUUCCACAUAUGCAUAUAUAAGUGAAAAAUAUUUUACUUAUUUUUGGGAACUUCUAAAAUGGCAUUAAAAACGGUUCAUGAAAUAUUAAAAAAAAACAUGCAAUCUAUGAAAAUGGUUUAUGCCAUUCAAAAGUAUGACCAUAACAUACAAAAAAUGUUCACAAGUAUAAAAAUAUGUUCAUCACAUUUUUACAGGAUGUUAAUGAUAUGGAAAAAAAUCACGAAAUUUUAGGAAUUUCAUACGCUUAUUUUUUCUUGAUAUUUAGGAAAUGUUCACAUAUUUUAAAAUAUAUCGUGAUUUUUUAAAAAAAGGUUCAUUAAAUGUCAAAAUCUUUCUCCCAAAGUUAAAAUUUUCACCGUGUAUUCAAAAAAUAUUCAACAUGUAUCUAAAUUUUGUUAGCUAUAUUAAAAAAAUGUUCAGCGUGCAUUUAAAAAAUUGAACGUGUAUUAAAAAUAAAUGGAAAUUGAAAAAUAAGAAAAACAAUAUAACAAGUAGGAAAAAAACAAGAAAGAAAAAAAUCGAACAGAAUCUUCAGAACACGACACAAAGGGUUCCUAAAACGGCUGGAAGCAAUAUUUUUGGACUGGCCCAUUUUCACACGUGACUAUAGACGGUCGCUCGAUAGGUCACACAAUAAGUGAGACAAAGGUGUUUCUCAAAAUAAAAUAAAAAAUAAGUGAGACAUAGGUUUUGCCCGCCAAAAUGCACUCUAGUUUGUUUUUUGAGAAUCCAAACACGCUCUAGUUUUCUUAGGAAACCAAACGUGCUUUAGUAGAAGAAAAUAAAAUAAACCGGAAGGAUGACGAGACAUAGUCUAUUCAAAGAAAAGAAAAGGAGAAUGGCUCACACAUUUAUUAUGGGCUGACCUUAUUGAAUCCAUCGCCUUCUUGUUCAUUGAUCGAAUGAUCCAUGGAUGUGUGCGUUGAUCUUGUGGAUUGAAGGAAAGACGAAGGCACGACGAUUCCUGAACGUGGCCAUAGACAUAUAUGGCAGAGGAUUGCUGGUGGAGGAGGAGGGGAUGCCUCCAUGGUCGAGAUGAUGCCCGACCUCAUCGAACCUAGGGGUUGGUGUGAGCUUGUCUAAUUCUGCAUUGUCCCCAUCGCCGACCAUGCCCGGCUCGAUACACUCUACGUCAUGGAUGGGGAGACUCGUUGCUUCGACACCCUCAUCUAUUGAGACAUCGAAUCAUCACCCUACAGGAGGGCCCACUGGCAGGGCUGUCACUGGCGCCAGCUACCUCCGCUGCCAACAAAAGGUAACCACUCCACCCAGUCCCACGCCCUGGUCCACAGUCACAAUGGCGCCAACACCAUAUACAUCUUCGUCCGUCCACUGAUACGUCCAUUUUUCAUCAUGUUUUCCGAUUGAUAUUCUUUUUGUUUUAAAGUUAUAUUUCACUUUAUGAUGCAAUUCUAAUACCUUUUAUCUCUUAAUUUGCAAGAUAUAUCACAAGUGGGAGAAGGCCGGCAGCUGAAAUUCUGGACCUGAAAAGAGCUACAGCAGAUAUAGCUAUUCUCCAGAGUUUCAAAUGACCUGAAAGUUACGGAGAUUUACUUUAGAAUAUAUAAAAACACCGCAAGAAAAAUAUACAUGAUUAGCUGCAACCCUUUGCAUUCGUUCUUGCUUUAAACAUGAUAUGGAGGAUAGCAAGAAUGAUUCCGGUAAAGAUGUAUGUGACAAAUCAACUGAAAAAAAAAUCAGCACGCCUGAUAAGAGUAAGUAGCGAAUCUAAUGGCUCCUGAUCAAACUCACCCGAGCCGAAGAAUUACAAUGAAAUUACAUAUGAAACCGUCAACUAUCAUCUCCCGCAGUAUCCUUUGUUCGAAACUAGACCUGUGCAUGGACAGCCCGGCCCGGAGGCCCGAGCCCGAAAGCCCGGCAUUCGGGUCGGGCCCCGGCUCCAUUUUUUGGCCCGAAACCCUGGGAAAGGCUCGAAGUGCCCAUAAAUAUACUUUAUUGUUUUAAUACCAUGAAUAUUAUUAUGUUAAUUGGAAAAUGUCACUGUUAAUGUGUUUCGGGCUGGGCUGGGCCAGGCCCGGGCUUGGGAGUUUUGCUUCAGGCUUUGACAAGCCCGACCCGAAACCCGGCCCGACCCGGUGAAUGAUCAGGUUUAUUUGAAACCUAUCAUACAUGGGUGUGGCUGGUGCAAGUUUGAAGGCAGGCGGUCGAGGACCUCGCAACCACCACAUGGACUGCUUCUUUAAUCUCAGCCGUUAUAAUUCGGUCCCACAAAAUCAACGGGUUCUAUUUUAUAAUUAACGAUGCAAAACAUAUACAUCCCAUCUUAACCGUUAUAAUUUGGACCCACAAAAUCAAUGGUUUCUAUUUUCUAAUUAACGUGGAAUUUCUAGGGAGUGCAUAAUUAGUAUAGGUAUAGAUAUAGAUAGAUAGAUAUAGAUAGAUAGAUAGAUAGAUAGAUAGAUAUCUGUUGCGUCAAACGUCUAAAAAUGUUGAACUUUUAUUAGAAAAUAUUAAACUUAUAUUUUUAAAAAGAAAAAUAUCUAUUAGAAAAAUAUUCUUGACGUAUACCAAAAAUGUAGAAUAAAAACCAAAAGAAACUUUAGAUAUGUGAUGAAACUCAGGAAAGAAGAAUAAAGAAAAAAGAAAACCGAGAAAAAGAAAAGAAAGCUGAAGCGUAACAAAGAAAGAAAACCAGUGAAGAAACAAAAACAAAACCUUAGAAACAACCAAAAAGAAAAAAAUAAGAAAACCAGUGAAAUUAUAGAAAAGAAAAAAAAUAGAAGAAAUUGUAGAGAACCAAGAAAGAAACACAAAAAACUAAAGAACAGUAAAUAAAAAAAACAGUGAAAAAUAGAAAAACCAAUGAAACGGAAAAUGAAAAUAGAAAACCCAAAAAAUAUCAGGAAUAAACAAAGAAAACCGUAAGGAAAAGAAAAAAAAGGAAAAAGACCUCGAACGAACCUACAGCUACAGCGAGCCGUCGAGCAACCGAUCGAACGUGGGAAGUAAAUGCUUCACCAAGACGGAAUAUAUACUCGUUAUACCUAAGAUAUAGUCAGGUAUCGCUAUGUCUCGCGCUCAGAGAGUCGAGACUUCCGACCCGCUGAAGCGCGGGAGCAUAUGGGCCGGCCUAGGUUUGCGUGUUCUACACUUACUCGGUUUCUUUUUUUUUUCACGUUCUUUUGAUUUUUGAUCCCAUUUUAUAAUUUUGUUUACACUUUCAAAUCGUCUAAACAUAUAUGUGACAAAAAUAUACUUUAUAUAAUAUAUAGAAAAAUGUUAAUCACGCAUUUGAAAAAUGUUGAACGAGUAUAUGAAAAAUGUUGAACAAGUAUUUGAAAUAAAUGUUCGAAAAGUAUUUGAAAAAAAGUUUGAAAAAAAUAUUUGACAAAAUGUUGAUCAUGUAUAUGAAAAUUUUGAACAACUAUUUAAAAAAUAUUGAUCAUGUAUAUAAAAAUGUUGAAUAAGUAUUUUCAAAAUGUCAAACACGUAUUUUAAUAUUUUUUAUCAUUAUAUAAACAUGUUGAACAAGUAUUUGGAAAAUGUUGAACAAGUAUUUCAAUUUUUUAAAUCAUGUAUAUUAGAAUGUGGAAUGAAAACAAAAAGAAACAAAGAAAAACAAAAAAAAUAAAACCGAAAAAUAAAAAUAAAAAAUGGAGAAUAAAAAAUAAAACCAAAAAAAUGGAGAAGAAAAAAGGAAAACCAAACAAAAAAUGGAGAAGAAAAAAGGAAAAACAGUAAACCCAAAAAAACCCGAAUAAAACCUCGUGAAAAACGAAAACAAAAAUAAAAAAACCAGGUCAAAAAUAAAAAACAAAAAUACGGUGGUAGACUGCUGAGCCGCAUCGCCAACCCCAAAAAAACACCUCUGCCACCCCUCCACGGCUGAGGCACAGCAGGUCAGCAGCACCAGAUUCGGCGAGCAUCGGCGGACGCGAAGGCAAAGGAGGAGGAGAGCAUGCCCACGGCACUUGAGGAAAACUACGACAGUGUGUUGCUCGAAAACUACAAAGGAGGAGGGUCCGCACGCUUAACGUUCGUUGACGAUAUAGUAUUAUAUGAGUUAUGUGAUUUGGUGACCGAAUGUUGUUCGGGGUCCCGGAUGAGAUCACAGACAUGACGAGGAGCUCCGGAAUGGUCCGAAGGUAAAGAUUGAUAUAUAGGACGAUGCUAUUUGUGAAGGAAAUAUGCCCUAGAGGAAGUAAUAAAGUUGUUAUUUUAUAUUUUCUUAUUCAUGAUAAAGGUUUAUUAUUCAUGCUAGAAUAGUAUUGAUCGGAAACUUAAAUACAUGUGUGAAUACAUAAACAAAUACCGUGUCCCUAGUAAGCCUCUAUUAGACUAGCUCGUUGAUCAAAGAUGGUUAAGGUUUCCUAACCAUAGACAUGUGUUAUCAUUUGAUAACGGUAUCACAUCAUUAAGUGAAUGAUGUGAUGGACAAGACCCAUCUGUUAGCUUAGCAUAAUGAUCAUUCAGUUUAUUGAUAUUGCUUUUUUCAUGUCAAAUACAUAUUCCUUCGACUAUGAGAUUAUGCAACUCCCAGAUACCGGAGGAUUACCUUGUGUGCUAUCAAACGUCACAACGUAACUGGCUGAUCAUAAAGAUGCUCUACAGGUAUCUUCGAAGGUGUUUGUUGAGUUGGCAUAGAUCGAGAUUAGGAUUUGUCACUCCGAGUAUCGGAGAGGUAUCGGUAAUACACAUCAUAAGCUUGCAAGCAAAUGACUAAGGAGUUAGUUACGAGGUGAUGUAUUACAGAACGAGUAAGUAGACUUGCUGGUAACGAAAUUGAACUAGGUAUGAAGAUAUCGACGAUCGAAUCUCGGGCAAGUAACAUGCCGAUGGACAAAGGAAAUUACGUAUGUUGUCAUAACGGUUCGACCAAUAAAGAUCUUCAUAAAAUAUGUAGGAGCCAACAUGGGAAUCCAGGUUCCGCUAUUGGUAUUGACCAGAGGGGUGACUCGGUCAUGUCUACAAAGUUCUCAAACCCGUAGGGUCCGCACGCUUAACGUUCAUUGACGAUACAGUGUUCUAUGAGUUAUGUGAUUUGUUGAUCGAAUGUUGUUCAGAGUCCCGAAUGAGAUCACGGACAUGACGAGGAGUCUCGAAAUGGACAAGAGGUAAAGAUUGAUAUAUAGGACGAUGGUAUUCGGACACCGGAAUAGUUUCAGAGUGCACCGGGUAGUCAUCGGAUCACCGGAAGGGGUUCCGGGAGGCCCCGGGAGGUCUAUGGGCCUAAUGGGCCAAGAAGAGACACACACAAGCCCACAGAGGGGCUGACGCGCCCUCUCCCUGGCCGCCGGCCCUAGAAGAAGGAAAGGGGGUGGUCGCUACCUCCUCCUGCCUUUCCCCCCUUUGGGAGAAAGGAAAGGGGGUGGGGGGGCGCCACCUCCCCCUUCCUUCCCCUUGGCGCCAAAAGAAGGAAAGGGGGGAGGGCGGCCUAGGGCAAGCCCAAGUAGGAUUCGUACCUACUUGGGGCGCCCCUUGGCCUCUACCCUCUCCCACCCACCUAUAUAUAUGUGGGAGGGGGCGCCUAGCACACCCCAGACAAUUGCCUAGCCGUGUGCGGCGCCCCCCUCCACCGUUUACAACCCCGGUCAUAUUUUCGUAGUGCUUAGGCGAAGCCUUGCGAAGAUAACUUCUCCGUCACCACGCCGUCGUGCUGCCGGAAUUCAUCCACUACCUUGCCGUCUUGCUGGAUCAAGAAGGCGCGGACGUCACCGAGCUGAACGUGUGCUGAACGCGGAGGUGUCGUACAUUCGGUACUCUAUCGGUUGCAUCGUGAAGAAAGUUCGACUACAUCAGUCGCGUUGUCAAACGCUUCCGCUAACGGUCUACAAGGGUAUGUAGACACACCCUCCCCUCUCGUUGCUAUGCAUCUCCUUGAUAGAUCUUGCAUGGGCAUAGAAUUCUUUUGUUUUCCAUGCAACGUUUUCCAACAAUUUAGACACCGGAAGAGUUUUGGGAGGUACCGGGUAGUCAUCGCUUCACCGAAAGGGGUUCCGAAAAGUACCGGGAGGGUGAUGGGCCUUAUGGGACAAUAGAGGGGAGCACACCAGCCCACAAGGGGGUGGCGUGUCCCCCUAUGGCAGCCGACCCAUGGGAGAAAGGAAUGAGGGGGAUUCAGCCUCCCCCUUCGUUGCAUGAUUCUGUUUUAUGUGUUGCAUCUUGCAACGGUUCAAUUUACCAAAUGGUGGUAUAAGCGUUGCGCUAUGCUCUAGUAACACUGAUAAGGCAACACAUCUUAAACUGUUGGUAAAGACAUUAGCAACGCAUAUAUGAACUUGUAGAUACGGAAAGAAGCGUUGCUAUAGGGGGGCCAUGUUGUAGUGUCCCUUCUCUCUUUUCUCUCAUUAAUUUUUUAUUUUUGGGCACUUUGGCCUCUUUUUUUCCUUUUUUAUUUGGGCUUCUUUGGCCUAUGUUAUGUUGUAAAGUCAGCAGACUCAUCCCAACUUGUGAGGGAAUCAUAGCUUCUAUCAUCCUUUCCUCACAUGGGACAAUGCUCUAAUAAGGAUGAUCAUCAAACUUUUAUUUGCUUACAACUCAAGAAUUACAACUCGAAACUUAGAACAAAACGGAACGGUGGAAGUUGCAUGGCAAUAUAUCUCGGAAUGGCUAUGGAAAUGCCAUAAUAGGUAGGUAUGGUGGCUGCUUUGAGGAAGGGUAUAUGGUGGGUGUAAUGUACCAGCGAAAAUUGUGCGGUACUAGAGAGGCUAGCAAUGGUGGAAGGGUGAGAGUGCGUAUAAUCGAUGGACUCAAUAUUAGUCAUAAAGAAUUCAAAUACUUAUUGCAAAAGUCUAAUAGCUAUCAAAACAAAGUACUACACACAUGCUCCUAGGGGGAUAUAUUGGUAGGAAAAUACCAUCGCUCGUCCCCGACCGCCACUCAUAAGGAAGACAAUCAAUAAAUAAAUAAUGCUCCGACUUCAUCACAUAAUGGUUCACCAUGCAUGCAUGCUACGGGAAUCACAAACUUUAACACAAGUAUUUCUAUCAAUUCACAUUUACUCACUAGCGUGACUCUAAUAUCGCCAUCUUUAUAUCUUAAAGCAAUCAUAAGGAAUCAAACUUCUCAUAGUAUUCAAUGCUCUUUAUAUGGAAGUUUUUAUUAUAUUCCUUUUGGAUGCCCAUCAUAUUAGGAAUAAACUCAUAACCUAAGCAAAUUACCAUGCUGUUUAGAGAGACUCUCAAAAUAAUAUAAGUGAACCACGAGAGUUCAACAAUUUCUAUAAAAUAAAGCCAACGCCGUGCUCUAAAAAGAUAUAAGUGAAGUACUAGAGCAAAAUUGCCUAGCUCAACAGAUAUAAGUGAAGCACAUAGAGUAUUCUAAUAAAUCACGAUUCAUGCGAAUCCCUCAAAAAAGGCGUGUACAGAAAGGAUGAUUGUGGCAAACUAAAAAGCAAAUACUUGAUUGCGGCUUGAAGCUAUGUUAGUUUUUCCCCAAAGAGGAAGGGAUGAUGCAGCACAGCAACAGUAGGUAUUUCCCUCAGUGAUGAGACCAAGGUUAUCGAACCAGUAGGAGAACCAAGCAACACCACAUAAACAACACCUGCACACAAAUAACAAAUACUCGCAACCCGACGUAAGAGAGGGGUUGUCAAUCCCUCACGGGUAAAAGAAAUUUUGUAGUAGUUUGGAUAAAUAGAUCUCGCGGGAACACGAGAUAAAAUAAAUAAAUAAAAAGUGCAGCAAGGUAUUUUUGGGUUUUUUGGUCCGCAAAGGAAAAACAUAUUGAGAAGAGACCCGGGGGCCGUAGGUUUCACUAGUGUCUUCUCUCGAGAAAUUGCAAACUGUGGGUGUACAAAUUACUGUUGGGCAAUUGAUAGGAUUUCAAAUAAUCAUGAUGAUAUCCAGGCAAUGAUCAUUACAUAGCAUCACAUCCAAAAUUAGUAGACUGACUCCUGCCUGCAUCUACUACUAUUACUCCACACAUCGACCACUAUCCAGCAUGCAUCUAGAGUAUUAAGUUCAUAAAGAAUGGAAAAAGCCUUAAGUAAGAUAAAAUGAUGUAAAGGGAUAAACUCAAGUAAUAUGAUGAAAACCCCAUCUUUUUGCCCUUGAUGGCAACAAUACAAAUACGUGCCUCGCUACCCCUACUAUGUCAUUGGGUGAGGACUCCGCAAGAUUGAAUUCAAAACUAAGCACCUCUCCCAUUGCAAGAAAAACCAAUCUAGUUGGCCAAACCAAACCGGUAAUUCGAAGAGAAAUACAAAGAUAUCGAAUCAUGCAUAUAGUAAUUCUGAGAAGAUUCAAAUAAUAUUCAUAGAUAAUCUGAUAAAAAAUCCACAAUUCAUCAGAUCUCGACAAACACACCGCAAAAGAAGAUUACAUCAGAUAGAUCUCUGAAAGAACAUGCGGUGCCCCCAUGUUUGGUUUUGGUAAUUGAUGACAAUCUCUAUGGACUAAUGGUUGCCUUGAGUUAUAUUUGAAGGAUUUGUCCAUAGGCAUUUCUUGAAGUCCAUGUGUUGGUUUCAAGGAGUUUAUGUGGUGACCAAGGUGUUAUUAAGGAAUUAUCCAAAGAUUGGUCAUGUGAGAGUAGAGCUUAUUGCAAGCAUGUCUUGAAGAAGAAGAUUGUGUGAUCAUUCAUGUUUACCUUCAAGACAUCAUCCAAAUGAAGAGAGUUGGAAAGAGUCAAGGUUGAUCAAGACUAAGUCAAGAGUGAAUCAAGUUGAUCAACACACAAAGCGCACAAGAUGUACCGAGAGGGAUCAAGCGAUCCCAUGGUGUGGUAAGCAUUGUCAAUUACGCUUUGUGUACUAACCCAUGAUCGUCGUGAGAGUUCUUUGUGGGGUUAGGUUGCGGUGUGCAAGUUCAAGUGAAGCAUCAUGAAGAGAUCAAAUGCUUGAAGCUUGCCGUCCAUUGUGGUGACAAUGGACUUGUGAAGAUGUGCGGAAGAGUGGCUCACCCAUAGUGGAGUAUGGGGGAGCAAUCAACUAGUCUUCAUCGAGCCAACACAACCAAGAAAGGUGGUCCAACUUGAGGGGGUCAAGAUCGUCAUCAUCUAGCUCAAGUGGACCAUGUGCAAGGCAAAGGUUUGCUCUUGAUAGGUUUUCUAUUUUACUGGUCUCAUGAUGGUAGUUGGGAGACCGGGUUAUAGGAUCGAUUGCCGUACUAUCAAGGGGGGCUCUCGAUGAGUAGCUUGAUCGUAUCGUUCAUAGAGAGCUCAAACCAUUGCAUCCUUGCAUCAUCUUUGUUGGUUCUUGUUUGGUUCUUCUCUUUGUGAGUUUUGGAGCUUAUGGUCAUCUUGAUGACAAACUCGAGUUCAUCGAAAACGGAGUUCACUCGCAUCUUCUAUGAUGUUUUCGAUGUUGGAGGUUAUGCCGGUUCUUCUCGGUUGGAGGUUUUUAUGCUACUCAUCGUCUUGUAUCCAACAAGCUUGAGUUUGCUCAAUUCGGAGCUCAUAUGAAGAAGUUAUGGCAGUUCUGGUUUUCUCCCUGCGGUAGUACCGCGGCCAGAGCGGCAGUACCGCUUAUCGCCCCAAGCGGUAGUACCGCUGUCCAAAGCGGUAGUACCGCUUAUGGCCAUAAGCGGUAGUACGGCUACGGUUCCGCGCUGGUACCGCCUCGAUUUUGGGUCUUGCAUUUUUCGUGUCGAGUUUUGCAGUAGUUGCACGGCAGUAAGGCACGGCAGUUCCGCCUAUAAGCGGUAGUACCGCCCCGAUGGGCGGUAGUACCGCCUAGCGGUAAUACCGCUCCGGUCGGGCGGUAGUACCGCUACUGCAUUUUUGGUCCCGUGUUCUGCUCCUCCAGCGGUAGUACCGCUGGGGUGCGCGGUAGUACCGCUUAUAAGCGGUACUACCGCCCCAAGGUUCAUGUUUGGUUGCUCCUUUUCCCUGCUUCUUCCGCCAGAGCGGUAGUACCGCUCGUGGAGCGGUAGUACCGCUCGUGUGCGGGCUGAGCACAUAACGGUUGGAUUUUUCCCCUUCUAUAAAAGGGGGUCUUCUUCCCCAAUGAACCUUAUCCAUUUGAGCUCGUGUUCUUCCCCCAUUGUUGACCUUCUUCGAGCUUGCUAACUCUCAAUCCCUCCAUGGAUUCUUGCUAGUUUUGAGGGAAAAGAGAGAGGAGAUCUAGAUCCACAUUUCCACCAAUCACUUUCUCCUCUUUGUGAGGGGAACCCCUUGGAUCUAGAUCUUGGAGUUCUUGGUGUUCUCCUUCUUGUUCUUCCUCUCUUUUUCCUCCCUAGCAUUAGUUGCUUCGGUGGGAUUUGAGAGAGAAGGACUUGGGCACUCCGUGUGCCCUUGCCAUUGCAUUUGGUGCAUCGGUUUGAGUUCUCCACGGUGAUACGUGGAAGUUACAAGUUGAGAAGCUUAUUACUCUUGGGUGCUUGGUGCCCUUGAGCUUGUUCCUCUUGGGUGCUUGGGCGCCCUAGACGGUUGGUGGUGUUCGGAGCUCAAUCAUUGUGGUGUAAAGCUCCGGACAAGUGUCGGGGUCUCCAAUUAGGUUGUGGAGAUCGCCCCGAGCAAUUUGACGGGUUCCGGUGACCGCCCCCAAGUGUUGCCAAAGUGUACGGGUUCGGUGACCGCCCCCAAGGGUUGCCAUUUGUACGGGUUCGGUGACCGCCCUCAAGGGUCCCUUAGUGGAAUCACGGCAUCUUGCAUUGUGCGAGGGCGUGAGGAGAUUACGGUGGCCCUAGUGGCUUCUUGGGGAGCAUUGUGCCUCCACACCGCUCCAAACGGAGAUUAGCAUCCGCAAGGGUGUGAACUUCGGGAUACAUCGUCGUCUCCGCGUGCCUCGGUUAUCUCUUAUCCGAGCUCUUUACUUAUGCACUUUACCUUGUGAUAGCCAUAUUGCUUCUUGUCAUAUAUCUUGCUAUCACCUAGUAGUUUAUCUUGCUUAGCAUAAGUUGUUGGUGCACAUAGGUGAGCCUAGUUGUUGUAGGUUUUGUGCUUGACAAAUUGUGACGCCCCCGAUUCAAUCGUACACUAAUCAUGCACGCAAAUGUGUACGAUCAAGAUCAGGGACUCACGGGAAGAUAUCACAACACAACUCUACAAAUAAAAUAAGUCAUACAAGCAUCAUAAUACAAGCCAGGGGCCUCAAGGGCUCGAAUACAAGUGCUCGAUCAUAGACGAGUCAGCGGAAGCAACAAUAUCUGAGUACAGACAUAAGUUAAACAAGUUUGCCUUAAGAAGGCUAGCACAAACUGGGAUACAGAUCGAAAGAGGCGCAGGCCUCCUGCCUGGGAUCCUCCUAAACUACUCCAGGUCGUCAUCAGCGGGCAGCACGUAGUAGUAGGCACCUCCAGUGUAGUAGGGGUCGUCGUCGACGGUGGCGUCUGGCUCCUGGACUCCAGCAUCUGGUUGCGACAACCAGAAAGAAAGGAAAGGGGAAAAAAGGGGGGAGAAAGCAACCGUGAGUACUCAUCCAAAGUACUCGCAAGCAAGGAACUACACUACAUAUGCAUGGGUAUAUGUGUAAGGAGGCCAUAUUAGUGGACUGAACUGCAGAAUGCCAGAAUAAGAGGGGGAUAGCUAGUCUUAUCGAAGACUACGCUUCUGGUCACCUUCGUCUUGCAACAGGCAGAAGAGGGUAGGUCGACGUCCUCCAAGUAGCAUCUCCAAGUAACAUCUCAUAGCAUAAUCCUACCCGGCGAUCCCCUCCUCAUAUCCCUGAGGUAGAGCGACCACCGGUUGUAUCUGGCACUUGGAAGGGUGUGUUUUAUUAAGUAUCCGGUUCUAGUUGUCAUAAGGUCAAGGUACAACUCCAAGUCGUCCUGUUACCGAAGAUCACGGCUAUUCGAAUAGAUUAACUUCCCUGCAGGGGUGCACCACAUAGCCCAACACGCUCGAUCCCAUUUGGCCGGACACACUUUCCUGGGUCAUGCCCGGCCGCGGAAGAUCAACACGUCGCAGCCCCACCUAGGCACAAUAGAGAGGCCAGCACGCCGGUCUAAACCUAAGCGCGCAGGGGUCUGGGCCCAUCGCCCUGAGCACACCUGCACGUUGCGUGGGCGGCCGAAAGCAGACCUAGCCUAGUGGCGUUCCAGUCCAAUUCGGCGCGCGCCGCUCCGUCGCUGACGUCUGAAGUGCUUCGGCUGAUACCACGACGUCGGGAUACCCAUAACUACUCCCACGUAGAUGGUUAGUGCGUAUAGGCUCGUAGCCAGACUCAGAUCAAAUACCAAGAUCUCGUUAAGCGUGUUAAGUGUCCGCGAACGCCGAACAGGGCCAGGCCCACCUCUCUCCUAGGCGGUCUCAACCUGCCCUGUCGCUCCGCCACAAAGAUCCACACAGAGGGCCGUCGGGACAAAGGUCCUUUCAGCCCCCAAUCCGUGAAUCACUCGCGGGUACUCUUCGAGCUGACCCGACUUUAGUCGCCAUCUGUGUAGUAUGUAUGUAUGUAUAGUAUAUACCCGUGAUCACCUCCCAAGUGAUCACGGCCCGUGGUAUAGCAAGGCAGACUGACAAGAAUGUUGGGCCAAUGAUGAAACACUAGCAUCCUAUACUAAGCAAUUAGGAUUGCAGGUAAGGUAUCAACAGAUGUAGCGACAAUGUCAGGCUAUGCAUCAGAAUAGGAUUAACGAAAGCAGUAACAUGCUACACUACUCUAAUGCAAGCAGUAUAGAGGAGAAUAGGCGAUAUCUGGUGAUCAAGGGGGGGGGCUUGCCUGGUUGCUCUGGCAAGAGAGAGGGGUCGUCAACUCCGUAGUCGAACUGGGCAGCAGCAGCGUCGGUCUCGUAGUCUACCGGAGAGAAGAGGGGGAAGAAACAAUGAAUACCAAGUAAACAGAUGCAUAUCGAUGCAUGACAUGUCAAGAAGCGAUGCUAAGCGUGCCCUAACGUGGUAUAAGGUGGUACUGGUCAAGGGGGAAUCAUCCGGGAAAGUAUUCCCGGUGUUUCGUGUUUUCGGGCAGAGGAGCCGGAGGGGGCAGGUUGCGGGUUCGAUAGGUUAGGGGGGUGUGGUGGACGAACGGACUGCGUAUCCGGAAUCGUCUCGUCGUUCUGAGCAACUUUCAUGUUGAAAAUAUUUUAAUCCGGAUUACGGAUUAAAAGAUAUGAUUUUUAAAAGAUUUUAUUAAUUUCAGGAAUUUAAUUAAUUAUUUAAUUAAUUUCGAAAUUGCAUUUAUGACAUCAGCAUGAUGUCAUGCUGACAUCAUCAGUCAACAGGGUUGACUAAGUCAACCCGGACAGGUGGGUCCCGCAUGUCAUUCACUAUUAACUUAUUAACCUAAUCAAAGUUUAACUAACCUUAGUUAAUUAAGUUAAUUAAUGAUUAGUGUUAAUUAAUUCAGAAUUAAUUAGUUUAAUUAAUUACCCAAUUAGUUUAACUAAUGAUUAGGGUUAAUUAAUCCGGAAUUAACUAGAUUAAUUAAUUGCUUAAUUAAUUAAUUAAUUAAUUANNNNNNNNNNNNNNNNNNNNNNNNNNNNNNNNNNNNNNNNNNNNNNNNNNNNNNNNNNNNNNNNNNNNNNNNNNNNNNNNNNNNNNNNNNNNNNNNNNNNAUGUUGUUGUCGAUCGAGCGAGUCAGAGAGAGAUAUUGAGCGAGGAAGAAGAUGAACUCGCGAGAGGUUUUGUGCUGCCACAACGCGCAGCGUUUUCUGUUCUGUUAUUCCUCAUCUUAUCCAUCGUACAGGACUCCACUAACCACCUCCCGGCCUGGCAGCUGCGAUCCGCGAGAGUCGCUCCAUCCAGCGACUGGAUCGAUCAGUGACCAAGACCAGGAGGUGGGAGUAUCCUACGGAGAGGCGCAGCUCUCCACUACGUGCAUGACUUUGCAUGCUUUAUUACAAGAAACAGAAAGUAAACAAUGCUGCAUGCAUGAGAUUAUUUAGGCUAACAUUUCACCCCCUUAAUCUCACUGCACUACGCCGAUCAUCCCCAGCCUUUGCCGCAUCUCAAUGAAAUGGACGCGCCCGAGAGCUUUGGUCAGUGCAUCGGCGAGCUGAUCUUGAGUCCCAACAUGAUCUAUCUCCAUUUGCUUCUUCUCCAUACAAUCUCGCACGAAGUGAAACUUAAAUCGAUAUGUUUGCUUCGAUCAUGAUGAACUGGGUUCUUGCUCAGAGCUAUGGCUGAUUUGUUGUCCACCAGAAGCUUGAACUGCGCCGGUGAGGUACCUGUGAUAUCCUCCAGUAAUCGGCUCAGCCACAGUCCCUGACAAGUGGCAGCUGCUAUUGCAACGUAUUCAGCUUCGCAAGAAGAGAGGGCCACAAUCUUUUGCUUCUGAGAGCUCCAGGUUACCAGAUUCUUACCAAGAAAGAAGACAUGCCCGGAUGUGCUCUUGCGAUCGCCAGUAUCUCCAGCGUGGUCGCUGUCACUGAAUCCAAGAAGUUCAGCAGUUUCAUGGCCCCUCCUGUAGUUGCACCCAUAACGCAUAGUGCCUUUGAUGUACCUUAGGAUUUGCUUAACUGCUGCCCAGUGAUGAGUGCUUGGUUUCUCCAUGAAUCUACUGACUAUACCCACUGAAUGUGCAAUAUCUGGUGUUGUGGUCACUAGGUAGCGCAGACUUCCAAUUAUCCUGCGAUACAGAGUGGCAUCAAACAGAUCACCAUCGUCCUCUUUCUUCAGUUUGAGGCGACAGUCCAUUGGCGUGUGACAACUGUUGCAGUUGCUCAUAUCUGCCAUUUCCAAGAUCUUGCCAGCGUAACUCUUCUGGCUGAGUGUGAUUCCACCGCUGUUUUGCUGCACUUCAAUACCCAGAUAGUAACUCAACUGUCCAAGAUCGCUCAUCUUAAAGAGCUGUUGCAUCUGAUCUUUGAAGGAGAUUAUAUCUGCUGCAUUUGUCCCUGUGAUGAUCAAAUCAUCGACAUACACUCCUACCAGCAGGAAAGACUGUGAGUUGCCCCGUCUGUACACUGCAUGCUCUAGAGCACUUCGUGUGAAGCCAAGAGAGGAGAGGGUCUCAUCCAGCUUAGCAUACCAUGCGCGUGGCGCCUGAUGCAGUCCAUACAAUGCUUUGUGCAGACGCAGUACCCUUCCCUCUUGGCCAGGAACCUCGUAUCCCGGAGGCUGUGCAACAUAAACCUCCUCACUGAGAUCACCGUUCAGGAAUGCUGAUUUCACGUCCAUGUGAUGGACCUCCCAGCCAGAGUGCGCGGCAAGCGCGAGCAGUAGCCUGACAGUUUCCAUACGAGCCACAGGAGCAAAGACUUCUUCAAAAUCCACCCCCUGGCGCUGAACGUAUCCCUUUGCGACGAGGCGAGCUUUGUGCUUGACAACAUUCCCCGCCGGAUCGCGCUUGACACGAUACACCCAUUUCAGUCCGAUCGCUUUGUGCUCAGGCGGGAGCUGAGCGAGCUCCCAUGUACCAUUGUCGAUGAUGGACUGCAUCUCGACAUCCAUGGCGUCCUUCCAUGCCUUGCUUCCUAGUGCCUCGUCUACGUCGCGCGGCUCCUCGGCACUGAACAGACAGCGCACGAGCAGACAACGCUCAAACUGUUCGCGCACAGCCUGAUCUUCAGUCUCCUCCAGCACACUUGUGAUGCUCCGGUAGCGAACCGGCUGUCCAGUUGGCAGAUCAUGCCUGGAGUCGUGCGACUGGGGCGUGGCCGAGCGAUCUUCCACAGCUGUAGCGGGUGUAGCCAGAGCGGACUGUGGUGUCCCUGGUGCUCUCGAAGCAGGCGUGUUCAUCCCAGCAGGAGAGUCCGCAGGUGCAAGCGUUGAGGUUGUUGGAGAGCUUUGCGGUGUCGAGGCACACACGGGAGACCCGGCGUCUAUCUCAUGCACUCUGCUGGCAGUGGUAUACACCACGGUGAAAGUGGUCGGCGCAGCGCGGUUUUCUGCCACGCCCGGAGCGCGCCAUGUCCAUGGCCUGCUUUCUUCAAACACCACGUCCCGGGUCACCUGCACCUUCUUUGUUGCUGGGUUGUACACACGGUAGGCCUUGGAACCUUCCUCGUACCCGAUGAAAACCAUCGCCGUCGAACGAUCACUGAGCUUGGUGACACCGGGGCCGACGUUCUUGACGUGAACCGUGCACCCGAACGUGCGCAGGUGAUGCACGCUGGGCUUGCGGCCGUGCCACGCCUCAUAAGGCGUGACACCCUUUAGACUGCGCGUGGGCGCGCGGUUCAGCACAUACACGGCGGUCCUCACCGCCUCCGCCCAGAAGUACGCCGGCAUGUCCAUGCUCUUCAACAUGCACCUGGCCAUUUCCACGACCGUCUGGUUCCGCCGCUCUACCACUCCAUUUUGUUGUGGUGAGUAUGGGGCAGUGGUGAAGUGCUUGACACCGAUCUCUUCACAAUAGGCCCUGAAUUCGCGGAAUUGAACUCGCCGCCGCGAUCAGACCUGAACGCGCGCAGUCUGCAGUUUCCCUCUGCCUCCGCAAGAGUUUGCACCUUUCUGAACCUUGCAAAGGCCUCAUCUUUGGACUUGAGCAGCUCCAGCCACAUGUACCGACUAUAGUCAUCCACGAUCAGCAAAAAGUACUUGCUUCCUCCUGGUGUGGUCGGCUCGAUCGGCCCACAAAGGUCAGUGUGCACGAGCUCCAGCCCGUGCUCUGCACGGUACGCGGCGACUUGCGGGAACGGCGUGCGAUGUUGCUUUCCGAGGGCGCACCCAUCACAAUACUCUUCGACGUGGUCGAUCACUGGCAUGCCCCUCACCAUCUGCUUCGAUGACAUAGUGCGGAGAGCGCGGAAGUGCAAAUGCCCCAUGCGCGCGUGCCAACGCCAGGUUGCGUCGUCUCCCAACGCCAGCAAGCACUUGGGCGUGUCGAUCUCCAGCGCUCCAGUGUACAGGCGAUUUCCAGAGCGACGGAUGUAUGCCAGUGUUCGCCGCUCUGGGUCCUGGAUGGUCAUCACGCCAUCUUGGAUGUUGACGAUGCAGCCCGCUUCGUCUAGCUGUCCAACUGAGACAAUGUUCGUGCGCAGGCUCGGGAUGUGAAAAACACCAGUGAGCACGCGCUGCCCUCCGCCCUGACAGCGAAAGACCACCGAGCCGCGUCCGCAUAUGGCCACCACAGAGCCGUCGCCGAACUUCACCGUGCCAUGCACAGUUUCGUCAAGUGAUGCAAAGACUCCCUUGUCGCCCGUCAUGUGGCUGCUGGCGCCGGUGUCGAAGUACCAUACUCCGUCCGGCGAGGGCACUGGCAUAACCUUUUCUUCGUUGAGGAAGACCUCCUGCGGCACGGCGAUCUGUGGUGUGGAAACAGUGGUGGCCACGGCCAUGUACAGACCUGGGUCGUGCUCCGCCCCGCCUUGCACCAGAUUUGCCUGCUCCUGGGUGCCUUUCUGCUGCUGUUCACGGAGCCACGUCCUGCACUCCUUCUUCCAGUGCCCCGGGAUGCCGCAGUGAUGGCAUUUCCCUUUCUUUUUCUUGCCGCCUGAGCCGCCCGAUCCGCCUGCACCCUGGUUUCCCGACGUAGGCUUGCCGCCGCCCGCGCCUUUGUGUUUAGCGGGCGACUUGUUCUUGCCGCUGCCUGCGCUGAACGACGACCCGCCGCCACCGAUUUGUUUUUCUCUGGCCACCCACUCCUCGUGCGUGAGCAUGAGGCGCCCGGUGGACUGCGUGGCGUCGUCGAGGUCAUAGUGAUCCUCGCAAGCCGAGAAACGCCCGACGAGUUCCUCGAUGGUCAUGGUCUUCAGGUCGAUCAGAGAUUCGAUCGCCAUGGCCAUCGGUCGAUACUUCCGCGGCACCACACGAAGAAAUUUCUGAACGGCCUUGUGUUCGGUGAUGGGAUCGCCGUAUAGCUCCAGAUCCGCGACGAGGGCGGCGAGACGCAGCCCGAAAUCUUCGACGGACUCUCCGUCCUUGAACCGGAGAUCCUCGAAUUCUCGCCGGCGCACCUGUGCCUUGGCUUCGCGGGCGCGCUCACUGCCCAUCCGCAUCGUCCGGAUCAUCUCCCACGCCGUCUUCGCCGUGUCCUUGGCGGCCAGUACAUGCAGCAUCUCCGGCGGAACGCCGGUGAGAAUGAUCUGCAGCGCGCGCCGGUCGUCGUUUUCAUCGGCGACGUCGUCGGUCACCGCGGGCCAGACCCGGGUGACCUGGAGCUUCACCUUCAUCACAAGCGCCCACUCCAUGUAGUUAGUGCGCGUGAGCAUCAUGGACGCCCCCGCCUCCUCGCGCACGACGCGCUCUACCACCCGAUACUCGCCGCUGCCGGUGAGGCGCGCGAGCGGCGCUUUGGGUGAAGGCGUCUUCGUCGGCGACCUUCCGCCGCCCUUGUUCUUCCCGUCCGACUCGUCGCCAGACAUGACCACGGCGGAUCAAACACCGCCGCUGCUCCGAGAAACAAACACCCGAGGCUCUGAUGCCAAAUGUUGUUGUCGAUCGAGCGAGUCAGAGAGAGAUAUUGAGCGAGGAAGAAGAUGAACUCGCGAGAGGUUUUGUGCUGCCACAACGCGCAGCGUUUUCUGUUCUGUUAUUCCUCAUCUUAUCCAUCGUACAGGACUCCACUAACCACCUCCCGGCCUGGCAGCUGCGAUCCGCGAGAGUCGCUCCAUCCAGCGACUGGAUCGAUCAGUGACCAAGACCAGGAGGUGGGAGUAUCCUACGGAGAGGCGCAGCUCUCCACUACGUGCAUGACUUUGCAUGCUUUAUUACAAGAAACAGAAAGUAAACAAUGCUGCAUGCAUGAGAUUAUCUAGGCUAACAACCCAGGCCGACGGCGUGGACGCACAGGUAGGAGACCUGCGGCGGGCGGACGACGCAGAAGGUGAGCUUGAUGCUGCUGCCCUUGAGCUCGGGGUCCGCGAUCUCGCAGCUGGCCGUGGUGGCGUUGUCGCGGUCGGCGAAGUAGGCGUACGGCUCUAUGAGAACGAAGGGUGGCCGCUCGCCGCCGUUGUCGUCGUCCGGGUAGCCGUGAGCAGGCGGGGUCAGGGAUGGGCAGUCCUCGAGGCGUAUGUGCCUGCGAAUGAUCGGCCGUUCGUCUACUCCUGCAUGGUGGCCAUAAGCAGCAGCAGCGAGAUCCAUAGACCCCAGAUCCAGGUGUUCGUCCUGGCCCCUGGGUGUGUGUGGAUCAAUCCCACAUCGGCUGGCUCUUCUUGUUGGGUGUGUGGACGGAUUUAAGUAGGGGGAGGUUGCGGGGAUAGGAGCCGGAGGUGGAGACCGAUUCGAGAUGAGAUUGCAAUCAGAGUCGGAGUCGGAGUGAGAGUGGUGGGGAGCAAACCAAGGUGCCAGUCGCCUCUUCCUCCUCUUUCUAUCAUUAUUACAAGACUGACACAGCAUCUUCAAAAACAUGGACAGAGCUCGAUCAUCAAGCAAGCAUCCCACAAGACCGCAUUGUCAAAAAAAGCACAUAAUCUAAGACUUGUCUAUCAAAACUAAUACAUAUAUAUUAAUUGCGUUGUUCGGCGAACAUGACAAAAUUAUCCAAAAUACCAUUAAUCAGUAAUAAUACAACGAGAUAUAAAGAUAUGCGUAGCUACUCGCGCGUAGGUCAUAUCGUCGUCUCAAAACUCCUUAGGAAAUGAUGCCGCCAAAUUAAGGGUAAAAUUGGUCACGGAAUUACCCGAAUCUUAUGAUUGAAAUUACAAUAUAGAGAUACGCAGGGCUGCUUAUGGUAUAGGGCGAUCUCAAAACUCUACAAGGACAAGGCCCCAAAGUCGAUCCAAACCGUAUCUUGUGCGCAUCCAUGCAUGGCCUCUUAAGUCUCAUGCAUCUCGUCUUGUUUCCUGCAAUAAGGAUAAUCCUACACCUACGAAGUGGCUACGAAGGCCUACAUAAAUUUCCAAACCAUAAACCUCCCGGCCCCUGAUAUUAACGGGGGUGGGCCCCUCUCCCCAAAUUGAUCCAAUAAACCCCAUCAACGAUGUUGGUUACGUAAAACACGUAACAGAUUUUACAUAGGUCUGCCAUUGUCCCUGCAAUAAUAUGCUCAAUGUGUUUAAAGUCUUGCUAGCCGAUUUUGGAAACUAAAAAAUCUACUCUGACAUUGCAAUCCAAAGAAUAUAUUGGAAACUAGAGUGAAGCCAAAUAAUAUAAUCUUUCCUAUGUGGUUCUGCUCUGGUAAUUACUAUUCGUUUCUUGGCAUUGACAAAGAAUUAGUAACUGUGUUGAGACAGAAGAAAUUACGCAUGGGCAACAAGCACGGUAGGACACAUACAUCAACAGUUGAACCGUGUUCAUGAAAUGACAUAUCCAUCUUGAGUGUGAUCAUGCGCAGUUGCCAUUGGAUAAUCCUCCCACAGGGACGGGGAAAAGAGCCACGAUGAUAGCUCGUUGUCAUUAGCCUGGUCAAAGUAAAGUAGCUAUUAUUUAGGAAAAAAUGGAAUGCAGCUGUAAGCAGGUUAUGAUCAAGCAACAGACCGAACUGGUAAAAGUUUCAGACCAAUUGUGUAAACUAAGAUUAAGUCCUACAAAUAUUUUGUAUGACACAAUAUCAUGUUCUAUAUAUACUUCCCUUCGGGUCGAAAUUACUUGUCAUUUUGAAAAGUGAUGUUCUCAAUCCUAUGAAACUACUAAUUGCAACAGUAAAGAAGCGUGCCAUGGCAUCCUGGAAUCAAGAAUUACGAGUCGGCGAGUCGAGCCGAGGUUGAGAUUCAUAUACUAAUCAUGACUAGUGUAGACUACUGUUGGACUAGUCGACAUGGUACUAUAGUACUCAACUUAUAGUGAUACAGUCAAUGAUGGAGCUACUGGGAGGCGGUUGCAUUGGCCCCUCCAAGAUUGAAAAGAAUAUGUAUAUACCCAGGCUCAAGUCAAGUUUGUAGGUGAACAUGCAGGUUCAUGCAAAUCAACAAGGAACAUGCCACACAUAAUAUCAUGAAAACAAUAGUAAAGGUUGUAGUGCCAACUAUCAGUUGACAAGUUCCAGGUAACACUUUGUACAUGUGUAUCUUUCUAUUUGCUUAUAUAUGGCUGCACUAGAAACUUCUAACAAGAUAUUUGUAAGAACCAUGAACUUUUUAACCGUGUUUAUUUCUCAUGUGAUUGAGUAACAAUUAUUCGAAGUUGACGAUCUUGAUCUUUGAUUCUCUAUCGCUUAAUUGAAUGCACAUUUUAGAAAGUAUGCGCAACUUUACAUACAGAAGCCAUUUCAGAUCCAAAGUUACACAAGAAAAAAAAGAAUAUAACUAGUUAGAUGCAACCCUGUUAACUAAGCGAUAGCUACUUCUCGAGAAACCGAAAAUAGUGAUUGCUGAACAUAUACACACUAUGAUUCAAGCAAUUGUCAAUUAAUCAAUGAGGUUGGGACUUUCUCAUUUUUAUUUUCUCACAUAAAAAGAUUUUUAAGAUAUUUUUAAAAAGUAAUGUCUAAAAAUUACAAAAUAAUGUUAAUUUUGAACAGAGAACACAAAUUAAAUUUGAAGACAUAAUUAUGUUGACUAGACAAUAAAAAAAUCCUGGUUAUGAACCCGCAUUGAUAAAUUAAGUUAUAAAAAAGUAAAAAAGUUUACUAUAAAUUGAACUCACUAUCAUGAUCUAGAUUAAUAUUAUCGGAAAGGAAAUGAUAUGACUGAAGGGUGAUUGUGUGUAUUGGAUCGAUCAAAGCGGUAGCGGCCAAGCAAUGGUAUUUGACAUGUCAAUUAGGAGGUCUACACCUUGCCCUGCUUGUGAUGUUUGGGGGUCUCCACAAAGCACAAGUUGCUGACACUUUCUGAGCAAGAAAGACAGUGAAUAAACGGAACACAGAUGCAGGAAGAAAAGUGUAUGAGACCAGGUCAAGGUUUCAGGCUCAACAUGCACAAGGCAUAUGAAGGCACUCGAGAUGUUGGUUGCAUAUGGAGUAUGUUGUUGGUUUGUUGCGGUUCAGUAAUUUAUCUGUUCCCUAAUAUGAUUUUUCUCAUAUAUAUGUUAUUGGUUUGUAGCCCAUAUAAUCUUUGUAUGUUUAUGUCAUGUAAUGGAAGAUAGACUUAUGGCUACUGGUUAAAUGAUUUGCUUCAGUAUGCUCUCUUAGUUCUCUUUUGUAUGAGGAUGAUGGAAGUAAUGUGAAUGUUGGUAUUCUAAUCAUCUAGUUGUUUCGCUAAUCAGUCGUUUUGCCAAGGAGAACUUGUUUUCCAUCUGCACAUAUAAGAUGGAUAAGCAUAUUUAACUGUCUCUAUAAGAGAUAAAUCAAAAAUUGUGAUGGAAUAUGGAUAGAAAUGAGCCCUGCAAUACUGAACUGACAAAUAAGCUCCUGCAAUCAGCGAGCAAAUAGAAUGAGCUUGUCGAUGCAUAAGUGUUGACUGGAUAAGUACGAGAGUAGUUGCUUGUGUGGUAGUUUGUGUCCAACCAUGAGAUCUGAAUAAUCUGUAUAUAAAAUCUAAAUUCAGCUAUGAAAUAAAGAAAAAAAUAUAUUUUCUACCGUUUGCUUACAGUCACUUUUCUGCAAGUCUACAUCGGUGUUAUGGUGGUAUCAUGUCCAUAUGGAUCCGACAUUGCACUGUUUCGGCUAAGCGCUGUGAGCAUCACUUCCGAGCCAUUGUAAUCCUGGCUUCGGGUACCUCGGCACCUAUCCGAUGAGCCGCCUAGGAAGACCACACGCCAGAGGAGGGCCAGCCGGACCGACUUCGGUGAGUUUUGGAAAAUCAAGUACAAUACUAUUUGAAUCUAAAAUAGAAUUAUAAUUUGAACUAAAAUCACGACACUUAUUUUGAAUCAGAGGGAGGAGCAUUUAGUUAGUUUUUCGUUUUCGGAUCAACAGGCUCUCUACCCUGUUCUAUCGAUUUCAUUGAGAUGGAAUAAACCGUCACAACAGUUUUAGUCCCACUUAAAUCUAGGGAAGUGGAAAGCAGUGUGGCAUACAACAAACACUACUAUGGCAUAUUUUUCUAGCCAUAGCCCAGGGCAGAAAAACACUUGAACUAGCAUAGGAGAACAUGUGACUUUUUAUGGGAUUGGCAUCAACAAGUUGGUGAUAUCGAUGGUGCCAGGCAGCACAUCGCGGCUCACGGUAUCCAUGGCCACUACAAGUUUUUCAGCAACCUGUAAGCGCAACAGUUGUUGGUAUACGGCCCUGGAAUAGGUCAAACGCCCAAGGGAUCCCAACCCUACAGUGUUGCAGCUCAGAUGCUCUCCGGAGUGGGAAUGAGGUGGACACCGGCGGUUGGAGUACUUGAUGUCUACUAUGCAACUUUAUUCUUGUAGACACGUGUUGGGCCUUCAAGCGCGGAGUUUUGUAGGACAGUAGCAAUUUUCCCUCAAGUGGAUGACCUAAGGUUUAUCAAUCCAUGGGAGGCGUAGGAUGAAGAUAGUCUCUCUCAAGCAACCCUGCAAUCAAAUACAAGAAAUCUCUUGUGUCCCCAACACACCCAAUACAAUGGCAAAUUGUAUAGGUGCACUAGUUCGGCGAAGAGAUGGUGAUAAAAGUGUAGUAUGGAUAGUAGAUAUGAGUUUUUGUAGUGUCAACAAUAAAAAACAGCAAGGUAGUAAAUGGUAAAACGGAGCACAAGCGGUAUUGCAAUGAUGGAAAAUGAGGCCUAGGGUGCAUACUUUCACUAGUGCAAUCUCUCAACAAUGCUAAUAUAGUUGGAUCAUAUGAUUAUCCCUCAAAGUGCAAUAAAGAAUCACUCCCGAGUUCCUAUUAGCGGAGAACAAAAGAUAGAAAUUAUUUAUGGGGUACGAAACCACCUCAAAGCUAUUCUUUCCGAUCAAUCUACCCUAGAGUUCGUACUAAAAUAACACAAAGCUAUUCUUUCCGAUCAAUCUAACCAAGAGUUCGUACUAAAAUAACACCAUAUGACACACAUCAACCAACUCUAAUGUCACCUAGAUACUCCAAUGUCAUCAUAAGUAUCCGUGAGUUAAUUCUACGAUAUGCAUCAAACAACUUCAUGAUCAUAAUAUUCAAUCCACACAAAGAACUACAAGGGGGCCCCAAAGUUUCUAUCGGAAAAAAGUUAAUAAAAACGCCCCUAUGCAUAGUUUACCCCAAUAUCACCUCGGGAAUCCGCAAGUUGGGUGCCAUAACAUAUAUCAAGUGAAUCAAAAUAAUACCCCAUUGUCACCACGGGUAUUCAUAUGCAAGACAUAUAUCAUGUGUUCUCAGAUCUGAACAUUCAAUCCGACAAGACAAAACUUCAAAGGGUAAAGAUUCAAUUCAUCACAACAAGAGUAGAGAGGGGAGAAACAUCAUAUGAUCCAUCUAUGUUAACAAAGCCCAUGAUACAUCAAGAUCAUGACAUCUCAAGAUAACGAGAGAGAGAGAGAGAUUAAACACAUAGCUACUGGUACAAACCCUUAGCCCCGAGGGUGGACUACUCCCUCCUCAUCGUGGUGGCCGCCGGGAUGAUGAAGAUGGCCACCGGUGAUGAUCUCCCCCUCCGGCAGGGUGCCCGAACGGGCUCCCGAUUGGUUUUCAGUGGCUACAGAGGCGUGCGGCGGCGGAACUUCCGAUCUAGGGUCUCCGUGAGGGUUUUUGGAAUAUUUGGAAAUUUAAAGGGAAAAGAGGGGGUGCGGGAGGCCACCGAGGUGGGCACAACCCACCGGGGCGCGCUUCGGGGGCCCAGGCGCGCCCUGGUGAGUUGUUCCCCCCUCGGGGCACCCCCCAGGUGCUGCUCUGGCCCAUUGGUAGUCUUCUGGUCCAUAAAAAAUCCACAAAAAGUUUUGCGGUGUUUGGAGAACUUCCAUUUCUGCACAGAAAACAACACCACGGUAGUUCUGCUGAAAACAGAGUCAGUUCGGGUUAGUUCCAUGCAAAUCAUACCACAACCAUAUAAAAUUAUUGUAAAUAUGGCAUGAAAACUUCAUAAAUUAUAGAUACGUUGGAGACGUCAGCAUCCCCAAGCUUAAUUCCUACUCGUCCUCGAGUAGGUAAAUGAUAAAAGAAAUAAUUUUUGAAGUGUGAAUGCUAGCAAAGCGUACAAGUUUGAUCAAUGACAAUUUCAAUCACUUUUCCUAGCAUCAUAACAGCAAUUCUUUCUUAUAAAACUUCUCACGACCAAGUAGCAACCAAUUCACAUGUUAAGGUUCAAACAAUGAAUUUGCUUGAAACUCAACAACCUACAAUCUCAGUCACCAAGCAAUUGCAAUUCAACUUAUUCAACAGAGUCUAAGAGCUCCACAUACUCAACCAUCAUAUAGUAUUCUAUGAUUGCUAACACUCACCGCAUACGCAUGAGCAAAACGUUUCAACCGGACAUAUAGAAAGAUAGGGGCUUGUAAUUUUGCCUCCCAACUUAUUCACCUCAAGGAUGAUGUCAACAAUAAUAACUCAUGCUACCCAUAUCCAACUGGAUAUUUGUGCCUAGAUUUUUCCUCACCACAUGAUGCUUGCAAAAAGAGAAAAAUAAAAAGGAAUAGAGAGAAGAACUUUGACUCUUUGCAUAAAAGUAAAUACAUUAACACUACUGGAAUCAGGAAUUUUGCCGUCAGCCGGUUCUUUGCCAUCAGCUAGCUGAGCUUGAAGAAAACUGACGGCAAAGAAGCAGCUGACGGCAUAGAAGCUUUGCCGUCUGCUAGCGUACGACAAAGAGGGAGGGUGGCCCACUAGUGAGAACCACCUAACGGCCACUUUCUUUGUCGUCUGCUAGCUGACGGCAAAGCUUCUUUGCCGUCCGUGAGCAGACGCAAAUAAAGUGGCAACCUAACGGCCGUUUCCUCCCGGCCCCACCCCACUAGCUAUGCUAUUUGCCGUUUGCUAGCGGACGGCAAAGAAAUUCAACCUAACUAAAAAACGAUCGGCCCGCGCCCCACCCCGCUCUCUCUCCCUCACCUCACCGGCGCCACCCCGACGCCCCUGACCCCCCACCGGCCCACGCCCCCGACCCUCUAUCGCCCCGACGCCCGCNNNNNNNNNNNNNNNNNNNNNNNNNNNNNNNNNNNNNNNNNNNNNNNNNNNNNNNNNNNNNNNNNNNNNNNNNNNNNNNNNNNNNNNNNNNNNNNNNNNNNNNNNNNNNNNNNNNNNNNNNNNNNNNNNNNNNNNNNNNNNNNNNNNNNNNNNNNNNNNNNNNNNNNNNNNNNNNNNNNNNNNNNNNNNNNNNNNNNNNNNNNNNNNNNNNNNNNNNNNNNNNNNNNNNNNNNNNNNNNNNNNNNNNNNNNNNNNNNNNNNNNNNNNNNNNNNNNNNNNNNNNNNNNNNNNNNNNNNNNNNNNNNNNNNNNNNNNNNNNNNNNNNNNNNNNNNNNNNNNNNNNNNCCGCCCUCGCCGCCCCGCCACCUCGACAACCAGGCGCCCCGCCAUCCCGACGCCCUAGCCGCCCCAACACCCCGCCGCCCCGGUGCCCCGUGCUACGUCUUGAGCUUGCGUUGGUUUUCCUUGAAGAGGAAAGGGUGAUGCAGCAAUAGUAGCGUAAGUAUUUCCCUCAGUUUUUGAGAACCAAGGUAUCAAUCCUGUAGGAGGCUCCUCAAAAGUCCCACGCACCUACACAAACAAACAAGAAAUCGCAACCAACGCAAUAAAGGGGUUGUCAAUCCCUUCACGGCCACUUGCGAAAGUGAGAUCUGAUAGAGAUACUAUGAUAAGAUAAAUAUAUUUUUGGUAUUUUAUAAUAUAGAUUGGAAAAGUAAAGAUGCAAAUAAAAGUAGAUGGCAAACUUAUAUGAUAAAAGAUAAACCCGGGGGUCAUAGGUUUCACUAGUGGCUUCUCUCAAGAUAGCAUAAGUAUUACGGUGGGUGAACAAAUUACUGUCGAGCAAUUGAUAGAAAAGCGAAUAAUUAUGAGAUUAUCUAGGCAUGAUCAUGUAUAUAGGCAUCACGUCCGUGACAAGUAGACCGACUCCUGCCUGCAUCUACUACUAUUACUCCACACAUCGACCGCUAUCCAGCAUGCAUCUAGAGUAUUAAGUUCAUAAAGAACAGAGUAACGCAUUAAGAAAGAUGACAUGAUGUAGAGGGAUAAACUCAUGCAAUAUGAUAUAAACCCCAUCUUUUUAUCCUCGAUGGCAACAAUACAAUACGUGCCUUGCUGCCCCUGCUGUCACUGGGAAAGGACACCGCAAGAUUGAACCCAAAGCUAAGCACUUCUCCCAUUGCAAGAAAGAUCAAUCUAGUAGGCCAAACCAAACUGAUAAUUCGAAGAGACUUGCAAAGAUAACUUAAUCACACAUAAAAGAAUUCAGAGGAGAUUCAAAUAUUUCUCAUAGAUAAACUUGAUCAUAAACUCACAAUUCAUCGGAUCUCGACAAACACACCGCAAAAAGAGUUACAUCGAAUAGAUCUCCAAGAAGAUCGAGGAGAACUUUGUAUUGAGAUUCAAAGAGAGAGAAGAAGCCAUCUAGCUAAUAACUAUGGACCCGAAGGUCUGUGGUAAACUACUCACAACUCAUCGGAAGGGCUAUGGUGUUGAUGUAGAAGCCCUCUAUGCUUCCCCCUCCGGCGGAGCGCCGGCGAAGGCUCCAAGAUGGGAUCUCGCAGAUACAGAAGGUUAUGGCGGUGGAAAUAGUUUUUCGUGGGCGCUUCUGAUGUUUUCGGGGUACAUGGGUAAAGAUAGGAGGAAGAAGUAGGUCGGUGGAUGCCCGAGGGGCCCAUGAGAUAGGGGGGCGCGCCCAGUAGGGGGGCGCGCCCUCCACCCUCGUGGCCGCCUCGAUUGUUUCUUUACUUCCACUCCAAGUCCUCUGGGUCACGUUUGUUCCAAAAAGAUCACUCCCGGAGGUUUCAUUCCGUUUGGACUCCGUUUGAUAUUCCUUUUCUUCGAAAUACUGAAAUAGGCAAAAAAACAGCAAUACGGGCUGAGCCUCCGGUCAGUAGGUUAGUCCCAAAAAUGAUAUAAAAGUGUAAAGUAAAGCCCAUAAACAUCCAAAACAAGUAAUAUAAUAGCAUGGAACAAUCAAAAAUUAUAGAUACGUUGGAGACGUAUCAGGCAUCCCCAAGCUUAAUUCCUGCUCGUCCUCGAGUAGGUAAAUGAUAAAAACAGAAUUUUUUGAUGUGGAAUGCUACCUAGCAUAAUUCUCAAUGUAAUUUUCUUUAUUGUGGCAUGAUUAUUCAGAUCCAAAUGAUUCAAGAUAAAAGCUUAUAAUACAUAAAAACAAUAAUACUUCGAAGCAUACUAGCAAAUAAUCAUAUCUUAUCAAAAUAGCAUAGCCAAAGAAAGCUCAUCCCUACAAAAUCAUAUAGUUAGGCCAUGCUUCAUUUUCAUUACACAAAAUACUCCCAUCAUGCACAACCCCGAUGACGAGCCGAGCAAUUGGUUCAUACUUUUUAACGCGCUUCAGCUUUUUUCAACUCUUACGCAAUACAUGAGCGCAAGCCAUGGACAUAGCACUAUGGUGGUAUAUGGUGGUGGUUGUGAAAACAAAAAGGGAGAAGAUAGUCUCGCAUCAACUAGGCGUAUCAACGGGCUAUGGAGAUGCCCAUCAAUAGAUAUCAAUGUGAGUGAGUAGGGAUUGCCAUGCAACGGAUGCACUAGAGCUAUAAAUGUAUGAAAGCUCAACAAGAGAAACUAAGUGGGUGUGCAUCCAACUCGCUUGCUCACGAAGACCUAGGGCAUUUUGAGGAAGCCCAUCAUUGGAAUAUACAAGCCAAGUUCUAUAAUGAAAAAUUCCCACUAGUAUAUGAAAGUGACAUCAUAGGAGACUCUCUAUCAUGAAGAUCAUGGUGCUACUUUGAAGCACAAGUGUGGAAAAGAGAUAGUAGCAUUGUCCCUUCUCUCUUUUUCUCUCAUUUUUUUAUAUUUCUUUUCCCUUUUUUUCUUUCUUUUUCUUUUUUUUCUUUUUUUUUGGUGGACUUCCUUGGCCUCUUUUAUUUUAUAAAGUCCGAAGUCUCAUCCCGACUUGUGGGGGAAUCAUAGUCUUCAUCAUCCUUUCCUCACUUGGGACAAUGCUCUAAUAAUGAAGAUCAUCACACUUUUAUUGAUUUACAACUCAAGAAUUACAACUCAACUCUUAGAACAAAAUAUGACUCUAUAUGAAUGCCUCCGGCGGUGUACCGGGAUAUGCAAUGAAUCAAGAGUGACAUGUAUGAAAAAUUAUGAAGGUGGCCUUGCCACGAAUACGAUGUCAACUACAUGACCAUGCAAAGAGCAAUAUGACAAUGAUGGAGCGUGUCAUAAUAAACGGAACGGUGGAAAGUUGCAUGGCAAUAUAUCUCGGAAUGGCUAUGGAAAUGCCAUAAUAGGUAGGUAUGGUGGCUGUUUUGAGGAAGGUAAAUAAUGGGUGCAAGAGACCGGCGAAAGUUGCGCGGCAUAAUAGAGGCUAGCAAAGUGGAAGGGUAAGUGUGCGUAUAUCCAUGGACUCACAUUAGUCAUAAAGAACUCAUAUACUUAUUGCAAAAGUUUACUUAGCCCUCAAAGCAAAGUACUACUACGCAUGCCCCUAGAGGGAUAGAUUGGUAGGAAAAGACCAUCGCUCGUCCCCGACUGCCACUCAUAAGAAAGACAAUCAAAAGAGCACCUCAUGCAACAAAUUUGUCACACAACUUUUACCAUACGUGCAUGCUACGGGACUUGCCAACUUCAACACAAGUAUUUCUCAAUUUCAUAAUUACCCAACUAGCAUGACUCUAGCAUUACUACCUUUAUAUCUCAAAACAAUUAUCAAGCAUCAAAUUGAUCCUAGUGUUAAAUGCACUUUUUAUGAUAGUUUUUAUUAUACUCAACUUGGAUGCUCAUCAUUCUAGGACCAAAUUUAUAACCAUAGCAAAUACCAUGCUGUUAUAAAAGACUCUCAAAAUAAUAUAAGUGAAGCAUGAGAGAUCAACAAUUUCUUCAAAAUUAAGCCACCGCCGUGCUCUAAAAAAUAUAAGUGAAGCACUAGAGCAAAAACUAUCUAACUCAAAAGAUAUAAGUGAAGCACAUAGAGUGUUCUAAUAAAUUCUAAUCAUGUGGGUUUCUCCCAAAAGGUGUGUACAGCAAGGAUGAUUGUGGUGAUCUAAAAAGCAAAGACUAAUAUCAUACAAGACGCUCCAAGCAAAACACAUAUCAUGUGGCGAAUAAAAAUAUAGCUCCAAGUAAAGUUACCGAUAAACGAAGACGAAAGAGGGGAUGCCUUCCCGGGGCAUCCCCAAGCUUAGGCUUUUGGCUAUUCUUGAAUAUCUUGGGGUGCCAUGGUCAUCCCCAAGCUUAGGCUCUUGCCACUCCUUAUUCCAUAGUCCAUCAAAUCUUUACCCAAAACUUGAAAACUUCACAACACAAAACUCAACAGAAAUCUCGUAAGCUCCGUUAGCGAAAGAAAACAAAACACCACUUCAAGGUACUGUAAUGAACUCAUUCUUUAUUUAUAUUGGUGUUAAACCUACUGUAUUCCAACUUCUCUAUGGUUUAUAAACUAUUUUACUAGCCAUAGAUUCAUCAAAAUAAGCAAACAACACACGAAAAACAGAAUCUGCCAAAAACAGAACAGUCUGUAGUAAUCUGUAACUAAUGCAAACUUCUGGAACUCCAAAAAUUCUACCAAAAUAGGAAGUCCUGGGCAAUUUGUCUAUUGAUCUACAGAAAAAAGAAUCAACGCAAAAGCACGUUUCUGUGAUUUACUAAAAUUAUUUUCGAGCGCGCAAAGUUUCUGUUUUUCAGCAGAAUCAAAUUAAUUAUCACCAUAGGUUAUCCUAUAGGUUCUACUUGGCACAAACACUAAUUAAAACAUGAAAACACAUCUAAACAGAAGGUAGAUGAUAAAUUUAUUACUAAACAGAAGCAAAAACAAAAAAAAUAAAAAAAAUUGGGUUGCCUCCCAACUAGCGCUAUCAUUUAACGCCCCUAGCUAGGCAUAAAAGCGAGGAUAGAUCUAAGUAGUGCCAUCUUUGGCACUUAUCUUUUUAAUGGAGUUAUGCUCAGGUCCGGGAGGCUCCUUGCGUUUCCCUUCAUGCUCGGAGAUCUUUUGAUCUAAGGCAUCUAACCGUUUAUUGCAAAGUGUAAUCAAAUUAUUCAUGCGGUUGAUAUUCCCACCAAUAUUCUUAAGUGGUUCAACAAAUUUUUGCAAUUCACAUAAUUUAUCAAAAAUUUGGGUUCCUUCAUGAGAGAUGGGUGAUCCUUUUUGUAGGGGAAGUACUCCUACUAUCCCCUCUAUGAUUUCAUAAGCGGAACUAGGAUCAAUUUCAAUAAAAACCCCUUUUGCGGCAAAAUCAAGGAGUUGUCUAUGGGGUAAGGUUAACCCAACAUAAAAAUAGCGAAGUAAAAUCUUGAAAUCUCCUUCUAAGAUUUUCCUACCAAGCAUCUUUUAAAUUUUCUCCUUGUCUUUGCUUGAAGUGAAGAACUUCCAAGUCGGGAGACGAAGGGAUAAAGACCGAACUAGCCAUAACGACGAACACACAAGCAAACAAGCAAACAAAAGGCAAGCGAACGAGAGAGGAGAUUGGGAAAGAGAGGGCGAAUAAAACGGCAAGGGUGAAGUGGGGUGAUACGUCUCCGUCGUAUCUAUAAUUUUUGAUUGUUCCAUGCCAAUAUUAUUCAACUUUCAUAUACUUUUGGCAACUUUUUAUACUAUUUUUGGGACUAACAUAUUGAUCCAGUGCCCAGUGCCAGUUCCUGUUUGUUGCAUGUUUUAUGUUUCGCAGAAACCCCAUAUCAAACGGAGUCCAAACGGGACGGAGAAUUAUUUUGGAAUAUUUAUGAUUUUUGGGAAGUAAAAUCAACGCGAGACGGUGCCCGAGGGGGCCAGGAGAUAGGGGGCGCGCCCCAGGGAGCCAGGCACGCCCUGGACUCUCCUGGGCCCCCCGUAAGGCGGUUGAUGCUCUUCUUUUGCCGCAAGAAAGCUAAUUUUAUGAGAAAAAUCUGGGCGAAAGAUUCACCCCAAUCGGAGUUACGGAUAUCCGGAUAUAAAAGAAACGGUGAAGGGGCAGAAUCUGGGAACGCAGAAACAGAGAGAUAGAUCCAAUCUCGGAGGGGCUCUCGCCCCUCCCACGCCAUGGGAGCCAAGGACCAGAGGGGAAACCCUUCUCCCAUCUAGGGAGAAGGUCAAGGAAGAAGAAGAAGAAGAAGGGGGGCUCUCUUCCCCUCGCUUCCGGUGGCGCCGGAACGCCGCCGGGGGCCGUCAUCAUCACCGCGAUCUUCACCAACACCUCCGCCAUCUUCACCAAGAUCUCCAUCACCUUCCCCCAUCUAUAUUCAGCGGUCCACUCUCCCGCAACCCGCUGUACCCUCUACUUGAACAUGGUGCUUUAUGCUUCAUAUUAUUUUCCAAUGAUGUGUUGCCAUCCUAUGAUGUCUGAGUAGAUUUUCGCUGUCCUACCGGUGAUUGAUGAAUUGCUAUGAUUGGUUUAAUUUGCUUGUGGUUAUGUUGCUGUCCUAUUGUGCCCUCCGUGUCGCGCAAGCAUGAGGGAUUCCCGCUGUAGGGUGUUGCAAUACGUUUAUGAUUCACUUAUAGUGGGUUGCUUGAGUGACAGAAGCAUAAACCCGAGUAAGGGGAUUGUUGCGUAUGGGAUAAAAGGGGACUUAAUACUUUAAUGCUAUGGUUGGGUUUUACCUUAAUGAAUCUUUAGUAGUUGCGGGCGCUUGCUAGAGUUCCAAUCAUAAGUGCAUAUGAUCCAAGUAGAGAAAGUAUGUUAGCUUAUGCCUCUCCCACAUAAAACUUGCUAUCGGUCUAGUAACGUAGUCAAUUGCUUAGGGACAAUUACGCAACUACUACCACCACUUUUCCACACUCGCUAUAUUUACUUUAUUGCAUCUUUAUCUAAACAGCCCCUACUUUUUAUUUACGUGUUCUUUAUUAUCUUGCAAACCUAUUCUAUCACACCUACAAAGUACCUCUAGUUUCAUACUUGUUCUAGGUAAAGCGAACACUAAGCGUGCGUAGAGUCGUAUCAGUGGCAGAUAGGGCUUGAGAGGAUAUUUGUUCUACCUUUAGCUCCUCGUUGGGUUCGACACUCUUGCUUAUCGAAAGAGGCUACAACUAUCCCGUAUACUUGCGGGUCAUCAAGACCUUUUUCUGGCGCCGUUGCCGGGGAGUCAUAGCGUGGGGUGAAUAUUCUCGUGUGUGUGCUUGUUUGCUUUAUCACUAAGUAAUUUUUAUUUGAUGUUCUUAGUUGUUUUCUAUCUUUAGUUAUGGGUAGGAAACGAAAAAUACCAAAAAAAUUAGUUGUACCUACUACACCAAUGGUUGAAGAACCACUCAAAAUCUAUGACACUACUGAAGCUUUUUACUUGGAUCAUCUUCGAUCCCUUUGUGCUCGUGUUGAAACCCCAACUAGCUUAGUUGAGGGCAAAUCUUUAGAUGAGCAUUCUUGUUAUGUGCGACACCGUAUAUCUAAAAAAGGGAAACUAUUAUGGGAUCAAAUUCAACGUUUGCAAUGCUAUGCUUGGAAUUUAUGUGAAAUAUAUGAUGUUACUUGUUGUUCUGAAAACCCUAAGAAACACCUUCCCUACCAAUGUGAGUUUAUUGAUAAUGGAAUCGUAUCUUCGUAUGCUAAGGGUGUUUAUAAUUACUAUGAUAAUCAACAAAUUGAAGAUUUUGUUGCUUUUAAGGGUGCUUAUGAAAUUGCUUCUUUGAUUGGAAAGUAUGAUGCUACUCUCUACAAAUCUGAAAAUUUUGCCAUACUUGAAUAUUGUUAUGAUAAUUAUGCUUCUAAUGCCUAUGUUAAACUAUAUAUUGAGAAAUUCUCCGCUGUCCAAGAAGAGACUAAUAUUUUGCAGGAAGCUAUGGAAGAAGAAAUUGAUGAAACUGUGAGCUCAUUGGAUGAAAAAGAUGAUGAGGAGAGCGAAGAACAAAAGGAGGAAGAGCGGAUUGAUCACCCGUGCCCACCUUCUAAUGAGAGUAACUCUUCAACUCAUACAUUGUUUAAUUCCCCUUCGUGCUUACCGAAGGAUGAUUGCUAUGAUGAUUGUUAUGAUCUCGUUGAUUAUCUUGAAAUAUCCCUUUUUGAUGAUGCUUGCUAUGCUUGUGGCCAAGAUGCCAAUAUGAAUUAUGCUUAUGGAGAUGAACUUGCUAUAGUUCCUUAUGUUAAACAUGAAAUUGUUGCUAUUGCACCCACGCAUGAUAGUCCUAUUAUCUUUUUGAAUUCUCCCAACUACACUAUUAUCGGAGAAGUUUGUGCUUACUAAGGAUUAUAUUGAUGGGUUGCCUUUUACCGUUGCACAUGAUGAUUUUGAUGAAUAUAACAUGCAUGUGCUUGCUGCUCCUACUUGCAAUUAUUAUGAGAGAGGAACUACAUCUCCACCUCUUUAUGUUUCCAAUACGAUAAAAUUGCAAGAAUCUGCUUAUACUAUGCAUUGGCCUUUACUUGGUGUGCAUGAAUUGUUCUCUUAUGACAUGCCGAUGCAUAGGAAGAGAGUUAGACUUCGUCAUUGCUUGAUAUAUGUUGCUUUGUGCUCACUACUAAAUGCCAAAUCAUUGUUAAUUAAAAUUGGCUUUGAUAUACCUUGGGAUCCGGGUGGGUCCAUUACUUGAGCACUAUAUGCCUAGCUUAAUGGCUUUAAAGAAAGCGCUGCCAGGGAGACAACCCGGAAGUUUUAGAGAGUCAUUUAUUUCUGUUGAGUGCUUUUAUAUAGUUUAAAAACAAAAAAAUAAAUAGGGGAACCCAAAACUUUUCAGAAAGGAAAGUGAAAGUGAGAAAGACAAGCAUUGUUGAAGUGGGAGAGCUCCUUGAACUUUGUUCAUGCUCACGGAAACUUUGUGAAUCUUGAUUACAGAAACUUUUCAACAAAAAUAAUUUAUCCCCUUGUAUAAUGCCAUUGUAUUAUAAAAAUAAUGUGGUAAGGUUUGCCUUUAGGAUGUUUACAAUGCUUGUUGGUUUGUACGGUGCAAGACAGAAACUUUGGCUGUAGUGCGCGAUUUUACAUUUUUACCUGGAACGUCAAUUGAUUCUGAUUCCUUUUGCACUGUCUUUCUGUACAAAUUGUUUAUUGUUCCUAAUUUUGGUAGAAUUUUUGGGGUAACAGAAGUAUGGUGAAUGUUCAGAUUGCUACAGACUGUUCUGUUUUUGACAGAUUCUGUUUUUGAUGCAUAGUUUGCUUGUUUUGAUGAAUCUAUCAAUUUAUAUCAGUGGAUUAAGCCAUGGAAAAGCUAUAUUACAGUAGAUACAAUGCAAAAAUAAAAUAUGAAUUGGUUUGCAACAGUACCUAGAGUAGUGAUUUGCUUUAUUAUACUAACGGAUCUUACCGAGUUUUCUAUUGAAGUUUUGUGUGGAUGAAGUGUCUAAUCGAGGAGGUCUCGAUAUGAGAAAAAGGAAGAGAGGCAAGAGCUCAAGCUUGGGGAUGCCCGAGGCACCCCAAGUAAAUAUUCAAGGAGACUCAAGCGUCUAAGCUUGGGGAUGCCCCGGAAGGCAUCCCCUCUUUCUUCAACAAGUAUCGGUAUGUUUUCGAAUUCGUUUCGUUCAUGCAUUAUGUGCAAGUCUUGGAGCAUCUUUUGCACUUAGUUUUCACUUUUCUUUUAUGCACCAUGCUGGUAUGAGAUAGUCCUUGGUUGAUUUAUAGAAUGCUCAUUGCACUUCACUUAAAUCUUUUGAGUAUGGCUUUAUAGAAUGCUUCAUGUGCUUCACUUAUAUCAUUUGAAGUUUGGAUUUCCAGUUUCUCUUCACAUAGGAAACCACCAUUUGUAGAAUGCUCUUUUGCUUCACUUAUAAUUGUUAGAGCAUGGGCAUAUCUUUUGUAGAAAGAAUUAAACUCUCUUGCUUCACUUAUAUCUAUUUAGAGAGAUGACAGGAAUUGGUCAUUCACAUGGUUAGUCAUAAAAUCCUACAUAAAACUUGUAGAUCACUGAAUAUGAUAUGUUUGAUUCCUUGCAAUAGUUUUGCGAUAUAAAGGUGGUGAUAUUAGAGUCGUGCUAGUUGAUUAAUUGUGAAAUUUAGAAAUACUUGUGUUGAGGUUUGCAAGUCCCGUAGCAUGCACAUAUGGUGAACCGUUAUGUAACGAAGUCGGAGCAUGAGGUGUUCUUUCAUUGCUUUCCUUAUGAGUGGCGGUCGGGGACGAGUGAUGGUCUUUUCCUACCAAUCUAUCCCCCUAGGGGCAUGCGUAGUAGUACUUUGCUUCGAGGGCUAAUAAACUUUUGCAAUAAGUAUGUGAGUUCUUUAUGACUAAUGUGAGUCCAUGGAUUACACGCACACCCAACCUUCCACAAUUUUCUAGCCUCUUCGGUACCGUGCAUUGCCCUUUCUCACCUCGAGAGUUGGUGCAAACUUCGCCGGUGCAUCCAAACCCCGUGAUACGAUACGCUCUAUCACACAUAAGCCUCAUUAUAUCUUCCUCAAAACAGCCACCAUACCUACCUAUCAUGGCAUUUCCAUAGCCAGUCCGAGAUAUAUUGCCAUGCAACUUUCAUCAUCAUCAUAUACAUGACUUGAGCAUUUAUUGUCAUAUUGCUUUGCAUGAUCGUAAGAUAGCUAGCAUGAUGUUUUCAUGGCUUGUCCGUUUUUUGAUGUCAUUGCUACGCUAGAUCAUUGCACAUCCCGGUACACCGCCGGAGGCAUUCAUAUAGAGUCAUAUCUUUGUUCUAGACAUUGAGUUGUAAUAUUGAGUUGUAAGUAAAUAAAAGUGUGAUGAUCAUCAUUAUUAGAGCAUUGCCCCAGUGAGGAAAGGAUGAUGGAGACUAUGAUUCCCCCACAAGUCGGGAUGAGACUCCGGACUUUAAAAAUAAAUAAAAGAGGCCAAAGAAGCCCAAAUAAAAAAAAGAGGCCAAAGAAGCCCACCAAAAAAAAGAAAAAUAAAAAUAAAAAAAGAUAAAAAAAUGAGAGAAAAAGAGAGAAGGGGCAAUGUUACUAUCCUUUUACCACACUUGUGCUUCAGAGUAGCACCAUGUUCUUCAUAGAUAGAGUCUCCUAUGCUUUCACUUUCAUAUACUAGUGGAAAUUUUCAUUAUAGAACUUGGCUUGUAUAUUCCGAUGAUGGGCUUCCUCAAAUGCCCAAGGUCUUCAUGAGCAAGCAAGUCGGAUGCACACCCACUUAGUUUCCAGUUUGAGCUUUCAUACACUUAUAGCUCUAGUGCAUCCGUUGCAUGGCAAUCCCUACUCACUCACAUUGAUAUCUAUCGAUGGGCAUCCCCAUAGCCCGUUGAUACGCCUAGUUGAUGUGAGACUAUCUUUUACUUUUUGUCUUCACAACCACCACCAUAUACCACCAUAGUGCUAUGUCCAUGGCUUGCGCUCAUGUAUUGCGUAAGAGUUGAAAAGGCUGAAGCGCGUUAAAAAGUAUGAACCAAUUGCUCGGCUUGUCAUCGGGGUUGUGCAUUAUUUGAAUGCUUUGUGUGGUGAAGAUGGAGCAUAGCCAGACUAUAUGAUUUUGUAGGGAUAAGCUUUCUUUGGCUAUGUUAUUUCGAUAAGACAUAAUUGCUUGGUUGGUAUGCUUGAAGUAUUAUUGUUUUUAUGUCAAAUGAUAGACUAUUGCCUUGAAUCACUCGUGUCUUAAUAUUCAUGCCAUGAUUAGACAUAUGAUCAAGAUUAUGCUAGGUAGCAUUCCACAUCGAAAAUUAUUUUUUUAUCAUUUAGCUACUCGAGGACGAGCAGGAAUUAAGCUUGGGGAUGCUGAUACGUCUCCGUCGUAUCUAUAAUUUUUGAUUGUCCCAUGCCAAUAUUAUUCAACUUUCAUAUACUUUUGGCAACUUUUUAUACUAUUUUUGGGACUAACAUAUUGAUCCAGUGCCCAGUGCCAGUUCCUGUUUGUUGCAUGUUUUAUGUUUCGCAGAAACCCCAUAUCAAACGGAGUCCAAACGGGACGGAGAAUUAUUUUUGGAAUAUUUAUGAUUUUUGGGAAGUAAAAUCAAUGCGAGACGGUGCCCGAGGGGGCCAGGAGAUAGGGGGCGCGCCCCAGGGAGGCAGGCACGCCCUGGACUCUCCUGGGGCCCCCGUAAGGCGGUUGACGCUCUUCUUUUGCCGCAAGAAAGCUAAUUUUAUGAGAAAAAUCUGGGCGAAAGAUUCACCCCAAUCGGAGUUACGGAUCUCCGGAUAUAAAAGAAACGGUGAAGGGGCAGAAUCUGGGAACGCAGAAACAGAGAGAUAGAUCCAAUCUCGGAGGGGCUCUCGCCCCUCCCACGCCAUGGGAGCCAAGGACCAGAGGGGAAACCCUUCUCCCAUCUAGGGAGAAGGUCAAGGAAGAAGAAGAAGAAGAAGGGGGGCUCUCUCCCCCUCGCUUCCGGUGGCGCCGGAACGCCGCCGGGGGCCAUCAUCAUCACCGCGAUCUUCACCAACACCUCCGCCAUCUUCACCAACAUCUCCAUCACCUUCCCCCAUCUAUAUUCAGCGGUCCACUCUCCCGCAACCCGCUGUACCCUCUACUUGAACAUGGUGCUUUAUGCUUCAUAUUAUUUUCCAAUGAUGUGUUGCCAUCCUAUGAUGUCUGAGUAGAUUUUCGCUGUCCUACCGGUGAUUGAUGAAUUGCUAUGAUUGGUUUAAUUUGCUUGUGGUUAUGUUGCUGUCCUAUUGUGCCCUCCGUGUCGCACAAGCGUGAGGGAUUCCCGCUAUAGGGUGUUGCAAUACGUUUAUGAUUCGCUUAUAGUGGGUUGCUUGAGUGACAGAAGCAUAAACCCGAGUAAGGGGAUUGUUGCGUAUGGGAUAAAAGGGGACUUGAUACUUUAAUGCUAUGGUUGGGUUUUACCUUAAUGAAUCUUUACUAGUUGCGGACGCUUGCUAGAGUUGCAAUCAUAAGUGCAUAUGAUCCAAGUAGAGAAAGUAUGUUAGCUUAUGCCUCUCCCACAUAAAACUUGCUAUCGGUCUAGUAACGUAGUCAAUUGCUUAGGGACAAUUACGCAACUCCUACCACCACUUUUCCACAUUCGCUAUAUUUACUUUAUUGCAUCUUUAUCUAAACAGCCCCUACUUUUUAUUUACGUGUUCUUUAUUAUCUUGCAAACCUAUUCUAUCACACCUACAAAGUACCUCUAGUUUCAUACUUGUUCUAGGUAAAGCGAACACUAAGCGUGCGUAGAGUCGUAUCAGUGGCAGAUAGGGCUUGAGAGGAUAUUUGUUCUACCUUUAGCUCCUCAUUGGGUUCGACACUCUUACUUAUCGAAAGAGGCUACAACUAUCCCGUAUACUUGCGGGUCAUCAUGGGGGAGAGGAAAACGAGAGGCAAAUGGCAAAUAAUGUAAAUGCGAGGGAGAUGAGUUUGUGAUGGGUACUUGGUAUGUCUUGACUUGAGCGAAUACCUCCCCGGCAACGGCGCCAGAAAUCGCACGUUGGCGGGAGGUCAAAUUUUGACUUGACUUGGUGGAAGCCUCCCCGGCAACGGCGCCAGAAAUCCUUCUUGCUACGUCUUGAGCUUGUGUUGGUUUUCCUUGAAGAGGAAAGGGUGAUGCAGCAAUAGUAGCGUAAGUAUUUCCCUCAGUUUUUGAGAACCAAGGUAUCAAUCCAGUAGGAGGCUCCUCAAAAGUCACACGCACCUACACAAACAAACAAGAACUCGCAACCAACGCAAUAAAGAGGUUGUCAAUCCCUUCACGGCCACUUGCGAAAGUGAGAUCUGAUGGAGAUAAUAUGAUAAGAUAAAUAUAUUUUUGGUAUUUUAUAAUAUAGAUUGGAAAAGUAAAGAUGCAAAUAAAAGUAGAUGGCAAACUUAUAUGAUAAAAGAUAGACCCAGGGGCCAUAAGUUUCACUAGUGGCUUCUCUCAAGAUAGCAUAAGUAUUACGGUGGGUGAACAAAUUACUGUCGAGCAAUUGAUAGAAAAGCGAAAAAUUAUGAGAUUAUCUAGGCAUGAUCAUGUAUAUAGGCAUCACGUCCGUGACAUGUAGACCGACUCCUACCUACAUCUACUACUAUUACUCCACACAUCGACCGCUAUCCAGCAUGCAUCUAGAGUAUUAAGUUCAUAAAGAACAGAGUAAUGCAUUAAGAAAGAUGACAUGAUGUAGAGGGAUAAACUCAUGCAAUAUGAUAUAAAACCCAUCUUUUUAUCCUCGAUGGCAACAAUACAAUACAUGCCUUGCUGCCCCUGCUGUCACUGGGAAAGGACACCGCAAGAUUGAACCCAAAGCUAAGCACUUCUCCCAUUGCAAGAAAGAUCAAUCUAGUAGGCCAAACCAAACUGAUAAUUCGAAGAGACUUGCAAAGAUAACUUAAUCACACAUAAAAUAAUUCAGAGGAGAUUCAAAUAUUUCUCGUAGAUAAACUUGAUCAUAAACUCACAAUUCAUCGGAUCUCGACAAACACACCGCAAAAAGAGUUACAUCGAAUAGAUCUCCAAGAAGAUCGAGGAGAACUUUGUAUUGAGAUUCAAAGAGAGAGAAGAAGCCAUCUAGCUAAUAACUAUGGACCCGAAGGUCUGUGGUAAACUACUCACAACUCAUCGGAAGGGCUAUGGUGUUGAUGUAGAAGCCCUCCAUGGUCAGUUCCCCCUCCGGCGGAGCGCCGGCGAAGGCUCCAAGAUGGGAUCUCGCGGAUACAGAAGGUUACGGCGGUGGAAAUAGUUUUUCGUGGGCGCUUCUGAUGUUUUCGGGGUACAUGGGUAUAUAUAGGAGGAAGAAGUAGGGCGGUGGACGCCCGAGGGGCCCACGAGAUAGGGGGCGCGCCCAGUAGGGGGGGCGCCCUCCACCCUCGUGGCCGCCUCGAUUGUUUCUUGACUUCCACUCCAAGUCCUCUGGAUCACGUUUGUUCCAAAAAGAUCGCUCCCGAAGGUUUCAUUCCGUUUGGACUCCGUUUGAUAUUCCUUUUCUUCGAAAUACUGAAAUAGGCAAAAAAAGAGCAAUACGGGCUAGGCCUCCGGUUAGUAGGUUAGUCCCAAAAAUGAUAUAAAAGUGUAAAGUAAAGCCCAUAAACAUCCAAAACAAGUACUAUAAUAGCAUGGAACAGUAAAAAAUUAUAGAUACGUUGGAGACGUAUCACCCCGCCGACCCACUCCGGUGAGCUCCCCCCUGUUUUUUCUUUUUUUCUACUGCUGGUAAUUAGGUUAGUUAGUAUUGUUAGUUUCUUUUUUUCUACUGCUACUAAUUAGGUUAGUUAGUACUGUUAGUUAGGUUAGUUUGAUUUUCUAGGUUAGUACUACUAAUUAGGUUAGUUAGUAUUGUUAGUUAGGUUAGUGUCAUUCCUCUCAUGUCUUCUUUUGUCAGAUUUUGUUUUCUGUAGUAAUUUAAGUUCUAUUUUGUUGACUUGUUUGUUUGAGUUUGUGUUUCUGUUUGUCUGGUGAUGAAAAACCUAUUAAUCAUACCAUCUUUAGCGACUGAUUGGUCGUUGUGCGCCCAUGAUGUCAUUCUGCAAUUCAGAGGACAAAUUGAACAUCUUAGCGUAAUUUUUCUGAGUACUUCUGAACUUAUGCUGUGAAAAUCUGCAAUUCUGAUGUCGACAUUGGCUAUGCCGUAAUUUUGGAGACUGAAGUUUAUGGCGAAAUGUUAAUCGGGCUAGAAUUUUUCAAAUGGGCUAUCUUUUUGGUGGAUCUUGAGUUUCUUACUGCUACUUGUUUGAUCAUAAGCAUAAUCCUAUUUGCCUAGAAAGCAUUGCCUGACGGCUCAACCAUUUGUUAUGAAACUCUUUAAAUAUUUUUAUUUGAACUCAGGAAUCUGUGUAACGUUUCUGGUUGAUUUUCUUUCCUAAUUGGAGAUUGUUGUCUAUGGAUCCCGGUGAUGACUUGUGAUGUUAAAAAGUAGUGGCCUGAUUCAUACAUUGAUGAGAUCUAUAUUAUCACUCUGAGUGAUCUGUCCGACAACAUAUCCAACUUUUUUUAUGUUUGUGUUUUUUGGUGAUAUUUCCGUUAUCUGGACACAAAUGUUCAUAAAUUGUUUAUUUUCUUUGAUCUUUGUUGUUAAUUUUUUGUUUAAAAUAUUUCUCUAUGAAGAGAGUACAAGCAGAUCUUUGCUGUUAUCUGGACACUUUUGCUUUAAUAUUUAGACUAGGUUAGUUAGGUUAGUUUCUAGGUUAGUUAGGUUAAUUAGUUUGUAGGUUAGUUAGGUUAGUUUGUAGGUUAGUUAGGUUAAUUCUGUUAACUAGUUCUAGUUUUAGUUUUACUAAUUACUACUCCUAGAAAACAACCAUGUAAAUGAUUAGGAUUAGGAUGCAUAUGCAUCCCUUUUCUUUUGUUUCUUGAAAAUCAGAAAAUAAAAAGAAAAGGCAGGUUUAGUCAUCAUUUGUCAACUAGUUGGCUAAUGGUUUCUAGAAUUAUUUAACCAUGGGCAUGGAUAGGUAGCAACUAGGAAAGGUAGAAUUUUGCAUAAAGGGUUUUUGAUGGAGUGUUUAUUUGACCAAUGAGCUUCCCUAAAUUUUCUCAAAUAUUUUAGAAACACUAAAAUAAUUUUAACCUAUUAAAGACCAUUUCUGGCCUUAAGAAAAAGCGUUUAAUUAGUUAGUUAGUUAUUUUUUAGGUUAAUUACUUAGUUAGUUAGUUAAUUUUUUUAGGUGUUGUUUUCACCCACCGGAGUGCUCCAUUUCAGGUGGACCCGUCUGACCUAGACCCGUGUCGGACUCCGGUCCACGAGCCUCGGGUCGACGAGCCUCUUGUCGCCGAGCCUCGGGUCGACGAGCCUCUGGUCGCCGAGCCUCGGGUCCCAGUGUCUUCCUCCCAGGAGACUCGGGUCCCAGAGUCUUCCUCCUAGGAGACUCGGGUCCCAGAGUCUUCGUCCCACAUGACUCCGGAGACUAGCGGCCAUGCUGAUGGUGUCGAGGAGACCUUAUCUGAGGAUAGCUACAGCGAGGGCGAGCUGGUUGAGGAGGGUAAGAAGGUCUACCAGCGUGGUGGUACUAAGCUACCGUCCGUGCCGGCAACCCGCGACUAGAGGUGGUUGAUUCAGCCUAAUGGGGAGAAGUAAGAGCAUUUACUCUUUUCUAACCUUUUGCCUUCAUGUUUGUUCAAAUUAAUAUCUAAUGUGUUGGCCUUGUCAUACUGCAGGGGUUGGAAACACGCAGAUGGUAUCCGCAGGCCCAACCAGGUCCUUGGUACUCUUUGUCGGCACCACUUCCCGGGGUGGGUCACGUUGCCCGGUGAGGGUGAGCUUCCACAGCUAGCACUGGCCUGGGAGUUGUACGAGGCUGCCCCGGCCCUGCCGGGGGAGAUGGUCGACGGUGUCGUGUGCGAGACGGUGGCCGACAUUGUCAAACGGCGGUUUUGGGUAAUUUCUCCUUUACAGAAUUAAAAAUCAAUAGUACCUAGUGAUUGUACUAAUGAUCAGUGUUGUCUUGUUUGAUUGCAGACCUUCUACAGGUGUAUUGAGGAACACGAGGCGGACGCGGCUAUGGUUCUCGAAGCCGAAUGCAAGCGCCUACUUCAGAACACACGGCAUGAGGCUCGGGUGCAGGCUGCCCUAGACUACUACGCCUCGACUAACAUCAGGAGGCAGAAGAAGAAGUGCCGCGUCAAGAAUCUGAGUAAGGACAAGUACAUGAAGGUAAUUACCUAUUCUUAAGGCCUUGUACUAGUUUCCUUGAUUUGAUUCGUAGGCGUAGCGCUGAAAUUUCUCUUUGUCUAACUUAGGUGCCCCCGAGAUGGUGUGCGGAUAAGAUGGACUGUUGGGAGAGGUUGGUGGAUGAGUGGUGCUCUCCCCAAUGGCUAGCCGUCCACAACAAGGCCAGGGACAAGCGUGCCCAUAUGCAAGGUGUGCCGCACUAUCAAGGGAGCUCCAACCUGUUUGAGUACGGGGAUCACUGGGUAUGUGGUUCGAGCCCUUAACUUUUCAUGCAAUUUCAUUCUUCAUGCUAGCUUCAGCCCUUUAAUUACUAAUUUACCAUGUUCCUCUCUUUCAGGCGCGACACAACAAGAAGGAGGUGUCGCCACUGCACGACCUCUAUGCCCUGGCCCAUAGUGCCCCGUUCAAGAAGGCCAAGGCAUUCUCGGAGAAUGACCUCGAUCAUCCAGAGAGCUUCACCAACAUCUUCUCCCACGACAAGUUUGUGAGGUACAAAGACUGGGGGAAGAAGAUGAAAUGUGAGGACUUCAACCCGAGCCAGAGUCCUUUUGAUCCUGAGCUCGUGAUGCUAUCUGGUGAUGAGAGGAGACAUGGCUCGGUAGCCAUUGGGGAUGGACUGAUUUGUUGUCCUAGAAGUCUCCCGGAGAUCAAGAAGCGCCAGAUGAGGUCUCUUCCCGAGAUGAGGCCUCGACCACGGCCAAUGGAGCUCGCUAUCGAGGCUAGGGCCCAGGAGCUUGUGGCGGAGGCAACCAGGCAGGCGGUGGAGAGGGUGAGGGAGAUGGAGGAGAGGACGGCUAAUCUGUUGGAGGCGGAGAGGAACCGGAACGACGCGGGUCACCGGGCCCUAUACGAGAUCCUCAUGGUAAGUUUCUAGCCAAAUCAUGCACGUAAUGUUCGUUUCAUUACUAACUAAUAUGACUGACUCGUGCAAACAAAAUGUGCAGUCCGUGUGCGAGAAAACUGGCCAGACCCCUCCGCCGAUGCCCUAGAUUGCUAUAGCUGACACGGUGAGUUUCAUUUGAAUGGUCAUUAGUUACUAGUAUUCACAUUUCAGUUGCAUCAUGCUAACUAAACAUUGCAAAUGAUCUUUCGUGCAGCACGCCUCCCAAAAAGGAUGGACGAUCCUUCUCCGUCUCGCGGUGGGCGCAACCCCGGCCGGUCCUUCACCUCCCGGAUUAUGGUAAGUUUUCCCAAGUGUUUUGCUUAACAAAUUCUUUGUUUGCUAGAAAAUGGCAUAACAACCUAGGAUAGCUCAAUAAUGAUCUAUGGCUAGCUUAGCUAGUUCAUUUAUGACAUAAUUAGCUCACUUAGGUAAAAAAAUGGCAUAACAACCUAGGAUAGCUCAAUAAUGAUCUAUAAUUAGCUUAGGUACUCAUUUAUGACAUAAUUAGCGCACUUAGGUAAAAAUGGCAUAAUAACCUUGGUUUAGCUCCAAAGUGACAUGUACUUAGCUUAUUUUCCUCAAAAAUGACAUAAUAACCUUACUUAGCUCCGAACUGACAUACUUUACCUAGGAUAGCUAUAAAAUGACAUAUACUUAGCCUUUUUCCUCCUAAAUCACUUAAUAUGCUUAGUUAGCUGAAAAAUGUCAUUAUUAUCUAGGAUAGCUAAAUAAUGAUCUAAACUUAGCUUACCUAGUUCAUUAAUGACAUAAUUAGCUUACUUAGGUAAAAAAAUGGCAUAAUAACCAUGGUUUAGCUCCAAACUAUCAUAUAAUUAGUUUAUUUUCAUCCAAAAUGACAAAAUAACCUUACCUAGCUCCAAAAUGACCGAUUUUAACUAGGAUAGCUCUAAAAUGACCUACACUUACCAUUUUGUUCUACAAAAUGAAUACAUAUGCUUAGUUAGCUCAAAAAUGGCAUAACUACCUAGGUUAGCUCCAAAAUGACCUACUAACCUAGCUUAGCUCUAAAAUGACCUACACACUUAGCAUUUUACCUACCUUAGCUAAAAAAUGGCAUUUUUACCUACCUUAGUUAGAAGAAGAAGAAGAAGGAAGAAGAAGAAUAAUAAAUCUUCUUAUUAUUCUUCUUCUUCUUCUUCUUCUUUUUCUUCUAGCUAGUCUUCUUCUUCUUCUAACUUUCAUCUUUCCUAAUUUCCGGAUUUUCUUGAGAUGAGGAAGCUAGCAUUGAUGGAAACUUGUUGCAAACUUUUACUUGUGCUUGUGCUUUCUUUUUAUUUAUGGAAACUUGUUGCAAACUUGUUGGAUAUGUAUGUAUGGAAAUGUUGUUGGAAACUUGUAUAUGUUCAUGUUGUUGGAAACUUGUAUAUGUUGUUGGAAACUUAUUGUUGGUAUGAUUGUUGAAAUUAUUUUGAAAUGUGUGUGUAUAUAUAUGUGUGUGUGUGUGUGUGUGUGAAAUUCUGUCAAAUUGAAUGAAUUUAGGAAAAACAGGGGCUAUAUAGCCACUUUGCCGUCUGCUAGCUGACAGCAAAGGUCUUUGCCGUCCGCUAGCAGACGGCAAAGCUGCCACGUGGCAGCUACCUGUGCAACCUGGGGUGUAGUGGGCUGGCCUAUUUGGCAGAUUUGUCAUCAGCUAGCAGACGACAAAGGCCUUUGCAUCUUUGCCGUCAGCUGGCUGACGGCAACGAUGCAAAGGCCUUUGCCGUUUGCCAGCUGACAGCAAAGCACGCCGUUAACCACUUAACGGACCUGAACUGCCACGUGUGUCGUCCAGGCUCUUUGCCGUCUAUCAGAAGACGGCAAAGCCCUUUGCAUCUUUGUCGUCAGCCAGCAGACGGCAAAGAGGCCUUUGUCAUAGCCUAUUCAGUCGGACCUGUUGCCGUCUGCUGGCUGACGGCAACGGUCUUUGUCGUCUGCUGGCUGACGGCAAAGUGCUUGAUUCCUAUAGUGUAAAGUAAAAGAUAGGCCCUUCGCAGAGGGAAGCAAAGGUUGCCAUGCGCUUAUUAGUUUGUAUGCUCAACCCCUUAGUGCAAAAGAACUUCAUGUUAUAUUGCCCCUUGUGAUAGCAACCUUUAUUAUGUAGUCUGUCGCCUUUAUUCUUCGCCAUCACAAGUUCGUACAACGCUCAAUUUUCUCUUAUACAAAAUGAUCUAACACUUUUAGAAGCAUUUUUUAUUGCCUUAGUGCACCGAUGACAACUUACUUCAAGGAUCUUGCUCAAUCCAUAGGUAGGUAUGGUGGACUCUCAAAACAAGAUUUGGGUUUAAGGGUUUUUUGAUGCACAAGUAGUAUCUCUACUUGGUGCGGAAUUUUUGGCUAGCGAAGAUAGGGGGCAAGCACCACAUGUUGAAGGAUCUAUGACAAUAUAGCUUCUAUGUGAAUAUGAACAAACAUAAAUCAUUACGUUGUCUUCCUUGUCCAACGUCAACAAUUUUGGCAUAUAAUAUUUCGAUGGGGUUCACAAUCAUAAAAGAUUUCCAAGAUAGUGUAUUUGCAUGUGAAAGUUCUCUUCCUUAUAGUAAUCAUUCAUGAAUUGCUUGUAUGACCAAUAUUGUGAUUGUCAAGCUUCAAAAGAUUUCACUUUCUAAACCCAAUGUGAACUACCACUAGGCAUGAUAUGAGCAUACAAUUUCAACUUCAUGAUAUUCAAUUCAUUCAACAAUCUACUCAUAGGAUAUAAGUGAAGCAUAAGAGUAAAUGACAAGAUACUCCAAAAAGAUAUAAGUGAAGAUCAAGCGAGUAGUUAUGUAAAUGGGUAGCUUAUUGUGCAAAAAGUUUCAACAUUUUAUCACAUUCUGACUUUUCUAGGGAAUUUUGCAACAGCGGUAACCUUUCUGUUUUCAAACAGCAACAAGUAUACUUGCAAAAUAAGCAUGGCAAAGGCUAUCAUUGCCACUUUUAUUGAAAUAAAAGAUGCAAAACAUUAUUCUAAAUAACAGCAAGCAAAUCCUAACAAAAUAAAUUGACGCUCCAAGCAAAACACAUAUCAUGUGAUGAAUGAAAACAUAGCUCCAAGUGAGGUUACCGAUAAUGUUCGAGACGAAAGAGGGGAUGCCUUCUGGGGCAUCCCCAAGCUUAUUUGCUUGUAUCUUCCUUCGAUAUUAACUUGAGGUGCCUUGGGAAUCCCCAAGCUUAGGGUUUUGUCACUCCUUAUUCUAUAUCGAAAUCUCACCCAAAACUUGAAAACUUCAAUCACACAAAACUUAACGGAACUUUGUGAGAUAGGUUAGUAUGAUAAAGAGCAAACUAUUUCAUGAGGCACAAUGGUGAUAGGAGCAAUAUUACUUGGGAGAUUUACCUUUUUACCUCUACUUUUUCUUCUUUUCUUUUUCUUCUUCGCCACCUCACGUGUGGGUUUAAUCAAUUUUUUCGAGCUUCUUGUUGAAGAGAUUGAUUGGAUAGGAAGCUCCUCCUCGUUACCUGAUUCAUCAUAAUAAACACUAGGAGGGUAUUGGGAAAUAUUUUCCCUUUCAUUAGUACUCUCUUCAUACUCUAUUUGUUUUCUUGUCUUUAGAUAGUUGGCAAUAUAAGGAUUCUCAAUGCAAUUUACCGCACAAAACAUAUAAAUUUCCUCUAGAUCAAAAUCAAGAAAUCUCUUAGGGUUAUAUGGAAUAUUCUUAGUUAUACGUUUCAUUUCUUCAUAACCCAGAAGCAAACUAAGUUCAUUAUGAUGUACAAGGGAAAUCAAGUCAUCACAAUUUUUGGACAGGACUCGAUCAUGGAACAAAUUGCAUUGGAGAUUUAAAUGACCGCAUUCAUUGCAAAGUUCGCAAGGAUGGCGAAAAAAAUUAAAUGUUUCAGCACAACCAUCUAGCUUCUCUUGCAACCAUUUUGUUUCUAAAUACUUAUGCCUCUUGCAAAAUCUAUCUUCCCUUUUUUAUGUGCUUUUGCACUACCGAUUCACUCCGCAAAAAUUGACAUUCUUAUAGGAGACAUCAUUAUCAUGGCUAGUGCAAUCAUCAUUAGCAUUUUGGAUAUUCAAAGAAUUCAUACUAACAACAUUGUGAUCAUGCUCAUCAUUCAAAUAAUUUGUGCCAAACAUUUUAUUGACUUCUUCUUCUAACAAUUGAGCACAAUUUUCCGAACCAUCAGUUUCAAGAAAGACAUUAUAAAGAUGAUCAAUAAUAUGAUGCAACAUUAAUUCUAUUUUUUGUAGUUUCCUUUUAUAAACCAAACUAGUGAUAAAACAAGAAACUAAAAGAUUCAAUUGCAAUAUAUAAAGAUAUACCUUCAAGCACUCACCUCCCUGGCAACGGCGCCAGAAAAGAGUUUCAUUGACGGGAUGUGAGUGCCGCUUACCUAGCCUCCGCGGCAACUGUGACGUCCGGAUAAUUAAGCUACAGUAACACUCUACUAAUGAUGCCACGUCACCACGAUUACUGUCGUUUAUCUCGCAUUGAUUCAAACCCGAUUCAAUUCAAAUUUAAAAUAAAGUCAAAUUAUUAAUUCUUAAAGGGGUAAAUUAAAAAUGUUCAUUGGGUUACAAGUAUUCGCUAACUAAUUGUCAUGAUUAAACCAACAUUAUUUGGCUCACCAGUUAAUCCCUAGUAAUUUAUGAAGUGGUCCGACAUCAUCUUAAUGAACCAUUUAAGUUUUAAACAUGAUUUUAAACUUUUCAAAAUAACUCCAAACCUUUUGUGGCAGUGUCCAAAAUUGCAAUACAAAUUAUGAACCAAGUUUCAAUAUUUUACAAGAUCAAUUUGGUGGAUUAACUUAACACAAAACAGUAGAUAGAAAGAAAAACAGUAAACAAAAAUAAAAGAAAGUAGAAAACCUAAACUACUGGGCGCUUAGGCCCAUGUGGCUGGGGAGGCCUAGCCCAGCCGUCCUCCUCCCACCUCCUGUUCACAGGAGGGCGUGGAGGCCAUCCAUGGCGCCCCGGCCAGGUGCCGGCCAUCCACGCCUCCCCCUCGACUACAAGACCCCCUUCGCCCCUCUCCCUCGACCCCGGUCAAACCCUAGCCACUACCCCCUCCCCCCCUCGCUCUCCUCCCCGAUCUGGAGAGGCACCCGACGCGGUCGUCAUCGUCGCCGCGUCGAUCCCGCGGCCACCGACCGCCUCUCGUCUCACCGGUGUGUCCAGGAGCUCCGUCGCGUCGCGCUCGUCCUCGUCAACCACUACGUGCGCACCUGGAGGCCCCAAGACGAUGCCACGAUCAACUUCUUCACCGUCACAGCCGCCGCACCUCGCCGUCGAUCCUGCUGCUCUGGCCCUCCUCGAACCCCCUCGCGCUUGCUUGCGGAUCCCCCGGUGAGCACCAGCCCAUUCCCCAUUGUUUUCCCCUUGUUGCGUCGCGCCUAGCUACCCGUACCACCAUGGACGAAGCUCGCCUCCGCUAUUCGUGCCGCCGCAGCAGCCACUGCACGCUAAGUUCGCGCAUGUGCCGCGCGUCGAACUCCCCGAGCUCCUAGCUAGCCAACGCCACCUCCAGCGCAUCUUGCCGUGCCCGGUACGCUCGGACUCGAGCUCGCCCGAGGCCGUCGCCCGACCGUGCCCGAGCUCCUGUCGAGCUCGCGGUCGCCGCGCCCCUGCUCGCGCCCUCUACGCCCCCUGGACACGCUCACCACGCGCGCGGCCGCAACUCCCGCAAGCGCCCCGCGCCGCGCCCACCUUCCCCUGGCCUCGCCCCGGCCAGCCGCUCGCCCGCCGUGCCUGGGAGCUGCUGCCUGCUGCAUCUGCUCGCUGCCUGCUGCUACUAGUGCAGCGCUGCUACAGUAACAUUCAGUUACUGUAGCAGUAGCUAGCUUUGUACUGCUGCUGCUUACUGACUAGCCCUUUUUGCAUCAACAAAACAGAUAGCAAAUCACUUCGAAAAUAAAUAAAAAUGAUGGGAAUAGUUUGUACACUUGACCAACUCCAUUCCAUCUCACUGGAACAAGUCCAUUACGUGGAUGGAUUAAUUGCUACAAAAAUUACAAAAGUGCAUCUUCUGUUAACAGAAAAAAAACUGAAGAACAGAUUACUAACUAGGCUAGUUUGGAGCUGUAUUUGGACUAGCUAAGUGCACUGUUCAUGCCAUCAGAUGGCAUGGAUUGGUAGUACUCUUGGCGUAGAGUAAAUUAUAUAUAGGAAUCAUCCCCGUUAGAGCUAUGAAUAACGCAUUAUAGCCCUCACAAAUUGGCUAGUCAAUAAACAGAUUCUAAGACUUAGUAGAAUUUCAGAAAUUCUAGAAAACUAUUAUAACUUCGGAAAGUCGUAGAAAAAUAACCGUAGCUCGGUUGAAAAUACUUUAUACAUGAAAGUUGCUCAGAACAACGAGACGAGUACGGAUACACUGUCCAUUCGUCCACCACACGCCCCUAGUAUAGCAAACACGCAACUUUCCCCCUCUGGUCCAUCUGUCCGAAAACGUGAAACACCAGGGAUAUUUUCCCAGAUGCCCCCCCCCUUGCCGGUAUCACCUCCUACCGCGUUAGGUCACCCCUAGCACCGCUCAUUGUCAUGUCUUGCAUCGUCCUGCUUAUGUUUACACUGUAUUUAUUGUUUCUUCCCCCUCUUCUCUCUGGUAGACUACGAGACCGACGCCGCUGCUACCCAGUACAACUACGGAGUUGACGACCCCUCCUUCUUGCCAGAGCAACCAGGCGGGCCCCCCCCCUUGAUCACCAGAUAUCGCCUAUUCUUCUCUCUACUGCUUGCAUUAGAGUAGUGUAGCAUGUUACUGUUCGGUUACUCCUAUUCUGCUGCAUAGCCUGUCAUUGUUGCUACAGUUGUUACCCUUACCUGUUAUCCUAAAGCUUAGUAUAGGAUGCUAGCGUUCCAUCAGUGGCCCUACACUCUUGUCCGUCUGCCAUGCUAUACUACUGGGCCGUGAUCACUUCGGGAGGUGAUACUGUUACAUUACUUAUGAUACUGUUCGGAGAUGGGGGCUGAAGGGGCAGGUGGCUCCAUCCCGGUAGAGGUGGGCCUGGGUUCCCGACGGCCCCCGACUGUUACUUUGUGGCGGAGCGACAGGGUAGGUUGAGACCACCUAGGAGAGAGGUGGGCCUGGCCCUGGUCGGCGUCCGCGGUUACUUCAGAAUAACACGCUUAACGAGAUCUUGGUAUUUGAUCUGAGUUGGGUCGUUGACCUUAUACGCACUAACCGCCACGUGGGACAAGAUAUGGGCAACCGGCGUCGUGGUAUCAGCCGAAGCUCUUUUUGACGUCAGCAACUGAGCGGCGCGCGCCGGAUUGGAACGUAAGCCUGCUCUUGUAUUAAGGGGGCUAGUUCUGCUUCCGGCCGCCCACGCAACGUGCAGGUGUGCAAUGGGCGAUGGGCCCAGACCCCUGCGCGCAUAGGAUUUAGACCGGCGUGCUGACCUCUCUGUUGUGCCUAGGUAGGGCUGCGACGUGUUGAUCUUUCGAGACCGGGCAUGACCCAGGAAAGUGUGUCCGGCCAAAGGGGAUCUAGCGUGUCGGGUAAUGUGGUGCACCCCUGCAGGGAAGUUUAUCUAUUCGAAUAGCCGUGAUCUUCGGUAACAGGACGACUUGGAGUUGUACCUUGACCUUAGGACAACUAGAACCGGAUACUUAAUAAAACUGUGACGCCCCCGAUUUGACCGUACACUAAUCAUGCACGCAAAUGUGUACGAUCACGAUCAGGGACUCACGGGAAGAUAUCACAACACAACUCUACAACAUAAAUAAGUCAUACAAGCAUUAUAAUACAAGCCAGGGGCCUCGAGGGCUCGAAUACAAGUGCUCGAUCAUAGACGAGUCAGCGGAAGCAACAAUAUCUGAGUACAGACAUAAGUUAAACAAGUUUGCCUUAAGAAGGCUAGCACAAAAGUAGCAACGAUCGAAAAGGCAAGGCCUCCUGCCUGGGACCUCCUAACUACUCCUGGUCGUCGUCAGCGGCCUGCACGUAGUAGUAGGCACCUCCAGUGUCGUAGGUGUCAUCGUCGACGGUGGCGUCUGGCUCCUGAACUCCAACAUCUGAUUGCGACAAUCCGGUAUAGAAAGGGGAAAAGAGGGAGAAAAGCAACCGUGAGUACUCAUCCAAAGUACUCGCAAGCAAGGAGCUACACUACAUAUGCAUGGGUAUAUGUGUAAAGGGGCAUAUCAGUGGACUGAACUGCAGAAUGCCAGGAUAAGAGGGGGAAAGCUAGUCCUGUUGAAGACUACGCUUCUGGACAUCUCCAUCUUGCAGCAUAUAGAAGAGAGUAGAUUGAAGUCCUCCAAGUAGCAUCGCAUAGCAUAAUCCUACCCGGCGAUCCCCUCCUCGUCGCCCUGUUAGAGAGCGAUCACCGGGUUGUAUCUGGCACUUGGAAGGGUGUAUUUUAUUCAGUAUCCAGUUCUAGUUGUCAUAAGCUCAAGGUACAACUCCGGGUCGUCCUUUUUCCGAGGGACACGGCUAUUCGAAUAGAUAAACUUCCCUGCAGGGGUGCACCACAUAACCCAACACGCUCGAUCCCAUUUGGCCGGACACACUUUUCUGGGUCAUGCCCGGCCUCGUAAGAUCAACACGUCGCAGCCCCACCUAGGCUCAACAGAGAGGCCAGCACGCCGGUCUAAACCUAUGCGCGCAGGGGUCUGGGCCCAUCGCCCUAUGCACACCUGCACGUUGCGUACGCGGCCGGAAGCAGACCUAGCCUAGUGGCGUUCCAGUCCAAUCCGGCGCGCGCCACUCAGUCGCUGACGUCAAAAGAGCUUCGGCUGAUACCACGACGUCGGGAUACCCAUAACUACUCCCACGUAGAUGGUUAGUGCGUAUAGACCAAAUGGCCAGACUCAGAUCAAAUACCAAGAUCUCGUUAAGCGUGUUAAGUAUCCGCAAACGCCGACCAGGGCCAGGCCCACCUCUCACCUAGGCGGUCUCAACCUGCCCUGUCGCUCCGCCACAAAGAUCCACUUGCGGGUACUCCUACGAGCCGACCCGACUUUAAUCAUCACAUGUGUCAUGUAUAUAGUAUAUAAGUAUAUGCCCGUGUUCACCGCCCAGGUGAUCACGGCCCGAUAGUAUAGCACAGCAGACGGACAAGAAUGUAGGGCCACUGAUGGAAAUCUAGCAUCCUAGACUAAGCAUGUAGGAUUGCAGGUAAAGGUAACAACAGUAGUAGCAAGGAUAGGCUAUGCAUCAGAAUAGGAUAUCGAAAGUAGUAACAUGCUACACUACUCUAAUGCAAGUAGUAGAGAGUAGAGUAGGCGAUAUCUGGUGAUCAAGGGGGGGGCUUGCCUGAUUGCUCUGGCAAGUAGGAGGGGUCGUCGACUCCGUAGUCGAACUGGGCAGCAGCAGUGUCGGUCUCGUAGUCUACCGGAGAGAAGAGGGGGAAGAAAACAGUAAAUACAAUGCAAACAUAAGCAUGACGAUGCGUGACAUGACAAUGAGCGGUGCUAGGGGUGUCCUAACGCGGCAGGUGGUGGUACCGGUGAAGGGGGGGAAACAUCCGGGAGGUAUUCCCGAUGUUUCGCGUCUUCGGACAGACGGACCGGAGGGGGAAAGUUGCUAGUUCGAUAGGUUAGGGAGGUGUGGUGGAUGAAUGGACUGUGUAUUCGGAUUCGUCUCGUCGUUCUGAGCAACUUUCAUAUAGAAAACAUUUUCAUCCGAGUUACGGUUUAAAAGAUAUGAAUUUUCAAAGUUUAUUUGAAUUUCUGGAAUUAUUUAAUUUAACAGAAAAAGGGAUAUGACGUCAGCAUGACGUAGGAGUGACGUCAGCGGUCGACAGUCCGGGUUGACUGGUCAAACUGACAAGGGGGACCCACCUGUCAUAGACAGUGGGUUAACAGAGGAUUAAACUAAUUAGUUUUUGGUUAAUUAACUACUGGGCCCACCUGUCAGUGAGAGAUUAAUUAAACUAAUUAUUUUUAUUUAUAAAACAUUUUCUUUUUCUUUUCUUUUUUUAAAUUUUUGCGGCGGGGCCCGCAUGUCAGUGACUGGGCCUGCCCAGUCAGCAGUUGACUGGGUCAACCCAGUCAACUGGGGCCCGUUGGGGGCCACUGGCAGGGUCACUGGGGGUGGGCCAGGCCAGCCACGUCGGCGGCCGGCGCCGGAGUAACGCCGGCGACCGAACGCACGGCGGCGCGGCUCGGGAGGAGUACGGGUUCCGCGUACAGGGGGUCUCCGGGGGCGUGGCUGGGCGCGUUCGACGCGGCUCGACGUCGCNNNNNNNNNNNNNNNNNNNNNNNNNNNNNNNNNNNNNNNNNNNNNNNNNNNNNNNNNNNNNNNNNNNNNNNNNNNNNNNNNNNNNNNNNNNNNNNNNNNNNNNNNNNNNNNNNNNNNNNNNNNNNNNNNNNNNNNNNNNNNNNNNNNNNNNNNNNNNNNNNNNNNNNNNNNNNNNNNNNNNNNNNNNNNNNNNNNNNNNNNNNNNNNNNNNNNNNNNNNNNNNNNNNNNNNNNNNNNNNNNNNNNNNNNNNNNNNNNNNNNNNNNNNNNNNNNNNNNNNNNNNNNNNNNNNNNNNNNNNNNNNNNNNNNNNNNNNNNNNNNNNNNNNNNNNNNNNNNNNNNNNNNNNNNNNNNNNNNNNNNNNNNNNNNNNNNNNNNNNNNNNNNNNNNNNNNNNNNNNNNNNNNNNNNNNNNNNNNNNNNNNNNNNNNNNNNNNNNNNNNNNNNNNNNNNNNNNNNNNNNNNNNNNNNNNNNNNNNNNNNNNNNNNNNNNNNNNNNNNNNNNNNNNNNNNNNNNNNNNNNNNNNNNNNNNNNNNNNNNNNNNNNNNNNNNNNNNNNNNNNNNNNNNNNNNNNNNNNNNNNNNNNNNNNNNNNNNNNNNNNNNNNNNNNNNNNNNNNNNNNNNNNNNNNNNNNNNNNNNNNNNNNNNNNNNNNNNNNNNNNNNNNNNNNNNNNNNNNNNNNNNNNNNNNNNNNNNNNNNNNNNNNNNNNNNNNNNNNNNNNNNNNNNNNNNNNNNNNNNNNNNNNNNNNNNNNNNNNNNNNNNNNNNNNNNNNNNNNNNNNNNNNNNNNNNNNNNNNNNNNNNNNNNNNNNNNNNNNNNNNNNNNNNNNNNNNNNNNNNNNNNNNNNNNNNNNNNNNNNNNNNNNNNNNNNNNNNNNNNNNNNNNNNNNNNNNNNNNNNNNNNNNNNNNNNNNNNNNNNNNNNNNNNNNNNNNNNNNNNNNNNNNNNNNNNNNNNNNNNNNNNNNNNNNNNNNNNNNNNNNNNNNNNNNNNNNNNNNNNNNNNNNNNNNNNNNNNNNNNNNNNNNNNNNNNNNNNNNNNNNNNNNNNNNNNNNNNNNNNNNNNNNNNNNNNNNNNNNNNNNNNNNNNNNNNNNNNNNNNNNNNNNNNNNNNNNNNNNNNNNNNNNNNNNNNNNNNNNNNNNNNNNNNNNNNNNNNNNNNNNNNNNNNNNNNNNNNNNNNNNNNNNNNNNNNNNNNNNNNNNNNNNNNNNNNNNNNNNNNNNNNNNNNNNNNNNNNNNNNNNNNNNNNNNNNNNNNNNNNNNNNNNNNNAGGGGGUGCGGCGGGGACGGCCACUGUUCCGCCCCCGGUCGGGGGAACAGGGAAGGGGCGAGGGGGAGAGUGGGCUGGGCCGGGGCGCGGGGCGCGGGUGGCGGCCCAGCUUGGGCCGGGGUUCGGGGGUGCGGGGGUGCGGUGCAGAUGGGCCACGGGUCCAGUGGGGGGGGGCCUGCUCCCUUUUUUUUCUUUUGACUGUUUCUGUUUUCCUUUUAUUUGUUCUAUUUCCUUUUCUGUUUUAUUUCAUUUAAAGUAUUUAGGCAUUUUAUAAAAAGGUGUUUUCUCCACCACAAUUACCAGUGUAUUAUUUAGCACACACUGAACAUUUUUGUUGGAAUUUUUGAAAACUUUUAUUUUCCACUUUAAUUAUAUUUGAAUUUGAACUAGGAGUUUGAAAAGGGUGUGAUUCAAAUGUGAUCAACCCCUGUUUAGCAACAUGACUAGCUUAAUCACAGGGGGUUACUGUAGCAUGAUUCUCAGGGUGUUACAAAAAAACACCCUUCCAAGUGCCAGAUACAACCCGGUGAUCGCUCUCUCACAGGUCGACGAGGAGAGGAUCGUCGGGUAGGAUUAUGCUAUGCGAUGCUACUGGGUGAACUUACCAUCUACUCUCUUCUACAUGCUGCAAGACGGAGGUGGCCAGAAGCGUAGUCUUCGACAGGAUUAGCUAUCCCCCUCUUAUUCUGGCAUUCUGCAGUUCAGUCCACUGAUAUGGCCCUUUACACAUAUACCCAUGCAUAUGUAGUGUAGCUCCUUGCUUGCGAGUACUUUGGAUGAGUACUCGCGGUUGCUUUUCUCCCUCUUUUCCCCCUUUCCCUUCUACCUGGUUGUCGCAACCAGAUGCUGGAGCCCAGGAGCCAGACGCCACCGUCGACGACGACUCCCACUACACCAGAGGUGCCUACUACUACGUUCAGGCCGCUGACGACGACCAGGAGUAGUUUAGGAGGAUCCCAGGCAGGAGGCAUGCGCCUCUUUCGAUCUGUAUCCCAGUUUGUGCUAGCCAUCUUAUGGCAACUUGUUUAACUUAUGUCUGUACUCACAUAUUGUUGCUUCCGCUGACUCGUCUAUGAUCGAGCACUUGUAUUCGAGCCCUCGAGGCCCCUGGCUUGUAUUAUGAUGCUUGUAUGACUUAUUUUAUUUUAGAGUUGUGUUGUGAUAUCUUCCCGUGAGUCCCUGAUCUUGAUCGUACACGUUUGCAUGUAUGAUUAGUGUAUGAUUGAAUCGGGGGCAUCACAGCAACGGCGCUAGAAAAGAGCUUGAUGUCUACUACGCAACUUUAUUCUUGUAGACACGUGUUGGGCCUCCAAGCGCAGAGUUUUGUAGGACAGUAGCAAUUUUCCCUCAAGUGGAUGACCUAAGGUUUAUCAAUCCGUGGAGGCGUAGGAUGAAGAUAGUCUCUCUCAAGCAACCCUGCAAUCAAAUACAAGAAAUCUCUUGUGUCCCCGACACACCCAAUACAAUGGCAAAUUGUACAGGUGCACUAGUUCGACGAAGAGAUGGUGAUAAAAGUGUAGUAUGGAUAGUAGAUAUGAGUUUUUGUAGUGCGAACAAUGAAAAACAGCAAGGUAGUAAAUGGUAAAACGGAGCACAAACGGUAUUGCAAUGAUGGAAAAUGAGGCCUAGGGUGCAUACUUUCACUAGUGCAAUCUCUCAACAAUGCUAACAUAGUUGGAUCAUAUGAUUAUCCCUCAAAGUGCAAUAAAGAAUCACUCCCGAGUUCCUAUUAGUGGAGAACAAAAGAUAGAAAUUGUUUGUAGGGUACGAAACCACCUCAAAGCUAUUCUUUCCGAUCAAUCUAUCCUAGAGUUCAUACUAAAAUAACACAAAGCUAUUCUUUCCGAUCAAUCUAACCAAGAGUUCGUACUAAAAUAACACCAUAUGAUACACAUCAACCAACUCUAAUGUCACCUAGAUACUCCAAUGUCACCAUAAGUAUCCAUGAGUUAAUUCUACGAUAUGCAUCAAACAACUUCAUGAUCAUAAUAUUCAAUCCACACAAAGAACUACAAGGGGACCCCAAAGUUUCUAUCAGAGAAAGGAUAAUAAAAACAUGCAUCAACCUCUAUGCAUAGGUUACCCAAAUAUCACCUCGGGAAUCCGCAAGUUGAGUGCCAUAACAUAUAUCAAGUGAAUCAAAAUAAUACCCCAUUGUCACCACGGGUAUUCAUAUGCAAGACAUAUAUCAUGUGUUCUCAGAUCUGAACAUUCAAUCCGACAAGACAAAACUUCAAAGGGUAAAGAUUCAAUUCAUCACAACAAGAGUAGAGAGGGGAGAAACAUCAUAUGAUCCAUCUAUGUUAACAAAGCCCAUGAUACAUCAAGAUCGUGACAUCUCAAGAUCACGAGAGAGAGAGAGAGAUCAAACUCAUAGCUACUGGUACAAACCCUCAGCCUCGAGGGUGGACUACUCCCUCCUCAUCGUGGUGGCCGCCGGGAUGAUGAAGAUGGCCGCCGGUAAUGAUCUCCCCCUUCGGCAGGGUGCCGGAACGGGCUCCCGAUUGGUUUUCGGUCGCUACAGAGGCGUGCGGUGGCGGAACUUCCGAUCUAGGGUCUCCGUGAGGGUUUUUGGAAUAUUUGAGAAUUUAUAGGGCGAAGAGGGGGUGCGGGAGGCCACCGAGGUGGGCACAACCCACCGGGGCACGCCUGGGGGGCCCAGGCACGCCCUGGUGGGCUGUGCCCCCCCUCGGGGCACCCCCCCCCCCCAGGUGCUGCUCUGGCCCAUUGGUAGUCUUCUGGUCCAUAAAAAAUCCACAAAAAGUUUCGCGGUGUUUGGAGAACUUUCAUUUCUGCACAAAAAACAACACCACGGUAGUUCUGCUGAAAACAGCGUCAAUCCGGGUUAGUUUCCAUGCAAAUCAUACCAAAACCAUAUAAAAUUAUUUUAAACAUGGCAUGAAUACUUCAUAAAUUAUAGAUACGUUGGAGACGAAUCAGUGCCCACCAGUGGCAGAGGCAACGCGGAAAGGUGUCCAUGUCCCGGUGGUGUUUGUAGCAUCGUCGGAGGGCGUGUGGAGGUUUGCCUCCGGCGGAUCUCGCGCGAUUUGGUUGGCGUUUGUCUUCGGUGGAUCCACGUGGAUCUUGUCUUCGUUCAUCUGUCUUCGUGUGUCUACAGGUUGGGUCCUUCUAAUCCACGCUUCUCUUCAUCGACAGCGGAUGUUGUUCUGCUGCGCGGGUCCUACUGGGCCUUAGCAUGACGACUUCCCGACUGUCUACUACAACAAGGUUUUUCCGACUCCGGUGAGGGAGGGGGAAGACGGUGGCACGCCUUCGACUCGCUCCGGUGCCAGUAGUCGUCGCUAGGUGGUCUGUGGACCUAGAUGUAUUUUUUACUUCUAGUGUUCUUCGUACUACCUUGACAGGUGAUGAAUAGAUCGGAAGUUAUUCUCGCAAAAAAAACAUUUUGUUAGAAUGUAAAUUUUAAAAAAUGAUUAUUAUUCUCUUUUUUUAAAUGCAUGGAUUUUAGUUAAGAUAAUAAAAAUAAAAAUAAAACGCACACAAAAGCAGUCACGAAAAAUAAAAAAGGGAAAACAUGCAAAAAAAACAGGAUUAAGAAAUAAGCAAAAAACAGGAAAGAAAAGGAUUGAAAGGAAAAAAAGGAAAUACAAAAUAUAAGAAGGAAGCAAAAAGUCUAAAAUUGGGAAAAAAGGAAGGAAACGGAAACAAAAAAAAGUACUCCCUCCAUUCACAAAUAUAAGAUGUUCUAUAUUUUUUUCUGAUUUGGUUGUAUAUGAAAGCAUUUUAGUGUGUUUCUUCACUCAUUUUCAUCUGUUUCUAGUCUAUAUUAAAAUAUUCAAAACAUCUUACAGUUGUGAACGGUGAAGUAACAAACAAGCGGACUACAAAACCAUGUACUCAUGUACUCUCUCUGUCCGGAAAUACUUAUCAUUGAAAUGGAUGUAUCUAGAUGUAUUUUAGUUCUAGAUACAUCCAUUUUCAUUCAUUUUGAUGACAAGUAUUUCCGGACGGAUGGAGUAGAUAACUAACAAAAGAAAAAGAAAGGCAGAAACCAACUUAUGCUAGUGCAGUGCAGUGCAGGAUAGAAACGGAAGCGUGCAUGGGUCUACGCGUGGGAUUAUGCUAGUGCAGGAGAGAAACGGAAGUGUGCAUGACCCGAAUUCCCAAAAAAAUUUGGUUCUGUUAGGUUAUUUUUGUUUUUUUCUAUUUUCUUUCUUAACAUUUUUGAAUUAUGCGGAUAUUUUUAAAACAAAUGAAUAUCUUUUAAGUACUUCAUAAUUACAUAACAUUUUUUGGAAAAUUGAUUAAUUUUUUGAUGCUUUGAACACAUUUUGAAUGAAAUGGACUUUUAAUGUCAUAUUUUGCAAGAAAAUGUUCAUAAUGUUUUUAGACAAACAAAUCUUUGUAUCUAAAAAAUUUCAUGUAUCUUUAAAAAAAAUCAUGAUUUGAAAAAAAUGUUUCACAUGUUUAAAAAAGUUGUUCAUAUAUUCCUAAAACUAUUCAUGUUUCUUUCAACAAAUUGUUUAUAAAAAACUCUUGUAUGCAAGAAAAUAUUCAUGUAUCUCAAAAAAAAGUUUAUGGUUUGGAAAAAAAUCGCACAUGUUGGAUAUAAGCGUUCAUGUAUCGCUAAAAAUUUAUUUGUAUAUUUACCUAAUAAAAUAGAGAAAGAAGAGAAAAUAACAAAGCAGUGACGCACGCCAUGCGCUGUCGCUGCGGCAUGCAUCAAGGUUGCUGGGCCGGCUAAUGUGCCGAGCUGUAGGCUGGCUGUACAUCCGAGAUUCACGAGGCGACGUAUUGACGUGCCCCUCUUCACAGUAACAAAGACCGAUAGUUCCUCUGAUGUCAUCUAGUUGUUCUAUGCCAGUGCAAGGAAAAUUACUUACAUGAAUACAAUAGUCCUUUUUUCCUUGUUUGUGAGGAGUGAAUGCACAAAACUUGGCACUCAAUUAAAAAUAACAUUUAAAGAGUUCAUUUAAGGAGUUCGCAUUCAAUUUUUGUCCAUCUCAGUAGACCAAGAUAACGUUGGAAUUGGACUACUCAGAUUAUAUACUAAAAAAUGACUGAGCAACUCUUCAGGCCCGUCAAUAAGGCCUUGUACUUCAGGCCCGUCAGGUAUAUAUCACUCAAAUAACACAACAAAACAGGACCGGCAAUCGUACAAAGGUCUCUAUUGUUCCUUCAGAUAUGUUAUGUAAAUGCUUCCUCGCAUAUAUGCUUAUCUACCAGCAACCAUGUAGAAUAACAUCAUCAUAUAGUCCCUCCAUUGCAUAAUGUAGUGCAUAUUAGGUUUUUCAAAAAGUCAAAGAUACCAAUAUCUAAAAUACUAAAUAAAUAAAAUAUCAAAGUGCACUUCAUGAUGAACCUGAUGAUACUAAUUUUGUACUGUGGAUGUUGAUUAUUUUUCCUUAAAUUUGGUCAAACAUAGAAAUGUUUGACUUUUUAGGAAACAAAAUAUACACUACAUUUUGGAAUGAAUGGAAGACAUGAACAUAGAGAUCGUUCCAAGCAAACAACGUGUACUUGUCCAUCAAUCAAUACUAUUACAUAUAUAGCAUUGUCCUAGGAACAAGACACGAUUAUCCAAGAAAAACAUGAUAAUUCAAAUACUUCAUAUAGCACAUCACAAUCUCAAAACUCUCAAUAAGGAUUGUAGUAGUAGUAGUUCUGGGUUGACAUCCCAUCAGCAUGCGAAUUUUGUCCACCAGGCUGCAAACAAGGGGAAAUGUAUGCUCAGUUCAAUUCUAAUAUGUGGAAAUUAAAACAGUCCUACAAACUUCUGUUCUUGUUUUGCAAGACUGUAUAUACUUGAAUGUUGUCUAUGUUACUGACAGAGAAACAAAUAUGCGGUGGUGCAGCAAGACUGAGGAUGCAUAUUGAUUAUAGUACCUCGGGCAUUGAGUUGUUUUCCAAUAAUAGGAGCUGAUCAAAACGUUCAUCCAGAGAUGCAGAGGAAUGAAUCGAUGGCUGGCUGUAACUAGUCUGUUCAAACUCAAGUUGUUAUGUUGCGAAAUGCAGCUGUAAGCAGAUUAUCAACAAGCAAAAAAUUUAACUUGGCAAAUAAUGUACGCUAACUUAGCUACUAACAAGUGUUCUGUAUAACGAAAACAACAUGUGAGAAGUCACACAAUAUCGGCUGCCAGAUCCAAUUUUGUAGUAUUGCAAUUAAUCAAGAAUGGGGUCGAGAUGUAUCACUUAUCAACACUUAUAGUUAUCUUGUAAUAAUGGUAUCAUGACUUAUCAAUACUUAUCGUAAUCUUAUAAUGGUAUAUACACGAUAACCAACGAGAUCAGAACACGGAAGGAUCAUCUAUGUCUUAUUUGUUUCCCGAUGUAAAUUACUUGUCGGUUUAAAAAGUGAUGUUCUCAACAGUAAGGAAGCAUACCGUGGCAUCCUGGAUUGGAGCAGGCAUGCUACCAUUCCAAAACGAAGUAUUGCAAUAGUCGCUCUGGAUUGACAUGGCAUCUACAUGAGAAUAUUGUCCACCAAACUGCAACAAAGGUCAGUUCAAUUCAAUAUACGUGGCAACUAAAACAUGGUAAUCAUCGGACAAUUCUCGCCAUGAUCCUACAAAAAAAAUCUUAUUCUGCUAGGAUAGUAACAAUAUCAAGAUACUAGAAAUGGUCCACAUAAUUUAAUUAAUUCACACAGAUAUCUAACAGUAACACUUUAAGACUCUAUCCGUGAAUUAAGAUCGGGCAAUUAUGUCUAGCAAGUUAACUAUAUAUAGUUAGGACUUGAGUGAAGAAUAAUAAUUCUGAACCGCUUGUGUGUAUAUUGAAUUAUUGAUGCUUAGCUAGGUAGUAAAGGACUGCACCAAGUUGAGAUUUGAUAUGACAAAAUAGAAGCACUUUCAGCCUCGAUCAAUGAAUCAAGUUUGGAACUAGCAAGUUAAUGAUAGGUAAGAGUGGAGUAAGCUUAUAUAUAUAUUGAUGUCUAGCUAUGUAUUGAAGGACAGCACCAAGUUGAGAAUUAUUUAAAAAGCAGAUAUCACCUCCACUAUGAUUGCAAGGGAAAUUACAGAUGAAGUGUGCAUACCAUAUUAAUUUCCGAUGGCAUAUAAGACAUGUCGUCAUUCAUAGGAUAAGUGUUGGAUGGUAUAUCCAUCUGUAUUCCGGCAGGAGGAUUGUAUCCAGAACUCUGCGAAUAAAUGACAAUGGCCAGGAUUACUCCAUAAUUUUUUAAUACAUAUAGUCACUAUCAUACAGUAAAAAAAAUUGAAGGGUCAAACAUGGUAUACAAUUACAUACUACACAGUAUCAGUCGCCUCUACAGGAAAAGGGCAUGUAUUGCUGGUUUUGUCAUCAAGUAAGACCUGUGAAGGAGUAUUGAUUGUGCAUGGGGUUGAGAUAUAUCACCUCACAAUAUUUUCAGUAAUCUUAUAACAUGGUAUAAAUAGAAUGCAUGAUAUCUCAUAAUGCGUAGGCUAGUCGUGCGUGUUAAUAACCUAAUACUCCAUUCUCAUUUGAAUUGCAUAUUGUUUACCAGAGUACACCCAGAACAUUGAAGGACUUCAUGCCUUACUUUUGAACAUGAUUUCCCAAUUAAGCAUUCCCAUCUCUGUAUUUGCAGAGCUCUUGAUACCACCCUCUUGCCAAACAAGGUAAUAAAGUAAGGCAUGAAGCUGAACUAUGUUACUUAGAGGUGUACAUAGGUACAUACGUAUCUAGGCAAACAAACAUGUUACACAUGAAACUGAACUAUAGGCAGGAGUAACUUGUAUUGGUAUGAAUGGACCAGUUACCUCAGUGUUAUUAAUGGUGUAAUCAACAUGUAGACCAUUCAUAAAUCCAGCAUGGGAGUCUGCAAACAAGGUAAGCAUGUAAACUUUUUGCCAGUAUAAGAAAGACCAUGCAAUUGAAUAUGCCACAUCGCAGAGAACUGGAGCUAUUACAUAUAGCCCAGAUUAAAUUCCACAAUAUAGGAGGCAGAGAUAAACAAUAUAGCUAUCUUAUGACUGGUCAAAAAGGGCAUUCAGAGAAAAAAUAACACCCUCUUAUGGAUACCUACCUAAAUAUUGUCCCUCAUGUUGCACUGCCAUCUGGUCCACUUGAUUUGCUCCCAGAAUGUCUCUCUGAAUCGAAAAGAGUGAGCUCAACAUUGAGUAAGCAAUCUAGUUCAGUGUUAUUUCAAAAUAAAUUAAAAUCAUAGUACUAUCUAAGAUGGCAUGUACUAAUGCUACUGCUGCUAACACUCUCUUCCCGUCCUAACUACCAUUUCUGGACCCAUGUACACAUGACAAGUAAAGAGUAAAAGCCUUGGUUCUUAGCAUGAUUGGUAAGUGCACUCCCACCUCUCUUACCCCAUUACCAUUAAGAAAAUUCAUGAAAAUAUGUGUCACCAGAAUUUACUUACUAAAACUUCUUUUACCUUUACAAGAGAUAAUACGUACUCCCUCUGUAAAGAAAUAUAAGAGCACUUAGAUCACUACUUUAGUGAUCCUUAUAUUUCUUUACGGAGGGAGUACCGCUUAGAGGUGUGCGUAGUUACAUAUAUAUAUGUAGGAAAACAUGCAGGUUACACAUGAAAUUGAACUCCAGGCAGGAAUAACUAGUAAUGGUCAGAAAGUACAGUUACCUCACUGUUAGAAGCUAGUAGAUUACUGGUGUAAUCAACCUGUGGACUAUUCAUGAAUCCGGUACCAGCAACACAGGGGCCUGCAAGAAAGGUAGUAAAGCAUGUAAUUUUUUGCCAUUGUAAGACCAUACAACUUAAUAGGCCACAGCACAGAGAAUUGGAGCUAUUUUAUAUAGCCCAGAUUAAAUUCCACAAUAUAGGAGGACAGAGAAAAACAACAUGGUGGCUAUCUUUAUCACUGAUAAACCACUUAGUUCAUCAUUCUGCAGUGAUUGGUUUAUGUUCAACCAUGUAUUCAGAUAGUAGAUGUCUCUACUACACAUCUAGAGUUCAAGGCGUAUGCUUUUUACCUUAUUAACUUUAUCAAAUAUUACAUACAAUGUGGCUAAAAUCAACCCCUGGGGUUUUAAAUGUGUCUGCAGAAAUUAAAUGUACCAGUACACGAAAUUCUAAGUAAAAAAUCAAAGAACAGAUCGAUGUACAUAUUUUUCAUACUUUGCAAGAAUUAGGCAUGGACGUAUAUAAAAUGAGGGCUUUCUAUGUACCUAGAUCAAAGAUCAUUACUGUUCCAAUAAAAUACAGUUGGCGCCUAUUGCCUAUUUGAGUUAAAUUGUUGAAGGAUGACCAUCAAGUACGAUACUAUGCUACUCCCUCCGUCUCGGUGAAUAAGUCAUUCGCGUAGUUCUAGGUCGAUGAUUUAACUAUCUAAAUAUGUAUUAUAUGUGACAAAAAAUAUAUAUUUAGAAACUACAUCCAUGUAGAAAUCUAGUGAUAUACUUAUCAUGACAUAUAACACAUAUUUAAUUCCUCAAAUCGAUGACCUAGAACUACGCGGAUGACUUAUUCACCUAGACGGAGGAAGUAUAUAAAUACCUUGAUUGAUUGGUGGCACAUGUUGCACCACCUGCAGGUUUGCCUGAUAUCUCCCUGGAAAGCAUCCCUGGAAGAAGAGAGUAGAUUCAGUACUGAGUAUGCAAGAAAUCUAGUUCAACCGUGUUCAAAAAUAAAUUAAGAUCAUAUUGAAGUUGUUGAGAUCAUUUAUUUUAUAGCGAAACUGUGGAAUCAAUCUCACUUUUUUUCUGCUAUGUGGCUCGCAGAAUGAAUAGUACAGGUGAACACCACUUACAGAUUUGACAAAAAAUAAAUGGGAUUGUCGUCAUUGAAAUGCAUCAAUGCAGUUUGGUUUAGGUUUAAUUAAAUGAGCCGACAGAAAUGCAUGGUGAGGUAAAUUCCUUGAGGUCUACAAUCCAUAUGAAUGAACAGAGAAUGUUUCACCUUCUGGGUAUAAUCCUUCAAAUCCCGAACGGUAUGGUGAUAGUCCGUAGGAUGCAGCACGCAGAUGGCGACUCGGGGGCGGGGCUAGAAAUUAAAAUCAAACAUGAACAUCAGCACAUAGUAUAUACUUUCAUAAGUAGAUGGCUGAAUCACCGAUUUACUGCACACAAAAUGCAUCGCCCGACCGGAUCCUCGGCGCCUCCAUGCCUGCCGUUUGCUCCCUUGCUACGCAACUAGAGUUCGGGGUGGGCGGAGCUAUCUCUGGGUUGGGUUGGGUUGGGUUGGCCGCCGCCGCCGGCGGCCCUAGGUCGACGAGCUAGGAGGGAGGGAGUUUACUGACUGGGCUGUGCAAGGCUGGGCUCGUGAGGAAACGAGACGGGGAAGAGUUUGUUUACUGCCUGGCUGGGCUUGAUUGGUGUCUCUAAAGGCUGGGCUGGGCUGGGCUGGGCUCGUUAAGAAACAGCCCAUGAGGGACGUUCGAGAGCACCACCGACAUUCAAAUGUGUCUAUCCCUAAAAAAAAGGUCUAAAAUGUGUCUAGAAACACCGACAUUCAAAUUUUGUCACUUUCCUCAAGAAAAAACACUCUCGGGGGGAAAAGUCAAAUUAGGCUAAACUUUGUCCAAUGUUAGUCUUGUUUCGAAUAUCUCAUCACGGAAAGUAGGAAGGUUCAAAUCGUCGGUUUGGUUAUAUGUUUAUGCGCGCGGAUCCUAAUAUGGAGACCAAAAAUGUCUAUUGAGGGUAUAUGGAGACCAAAAUUAACGCGCAGGUGCUACCGGUGGUGUUGGGAAAUGAGGCAAGGAAGUGGCACUGUUGAGCAUGCGAUAGUAUAGCAAAAAAGAGAGGGCAUGUACAGCAAGCCAGGCAGUACUACAUGUGUAUGCACUCGUUCUGGCCGGGCAAGCCAAGCUGAUCAGUAAACGAAAAAAGCUAAGCUAGCUUGCUUGCAAGAUCUAUCAACAAAAAAGGUAGCUAGCUAGUUUGCAUGCAAUAUUCUGCACCAAAUGAUAUGCAUGCAUGCAGUUCGAAUUGAAGCAGUUAAGUGUGGGCAAGCAGUUGUGUAUGUAUGUAUGUAUGUACGUAUGUAUGUAUGUAUGUAUGUAUGUAUGUACCGAGAGGUUCAUCGGGAGGUGAAACUCGAAAGCAGUGAACCCUUGCUCUCUGGACCUGCGCGUUGUUUCGCCAUCCCUUUUGAAGUAGAGUUUGCCAAGAACAAAUUCUCGCCCUAUCUUGGAUGCCCCCGUGCUCUUCCAUUUGGCACCACCUCCCAAUGCCUUCCUGCUAAUGGCACCGCCAUUGUCACCCUGAACGGUGAUUAGCGUGAAGAACACCAUGGCUUUCUGCAACAGAGCAGCUCUGCUCCACUCCUGGUUCAGUAGGCCACCUGUCAGGACAUACGUGAGGCGGAAGUCAGAAUGAUGAUUAGCCAAAAGUCCAAACCAUCCAGUGUGCAUGCAUGCAUUUCAGAUCCAAGGGUGAACGUGAAACCAUAUAUAUGCGCGCUACGAAAGCACCCAUAUAUAUGCCCCGUCCUGUACGUCACCGCUACGGCGAUACGAGUAUCCCUGAGGUAUUGUGAUUUUUUAUUUAAAACAAAAGAAAAAAAUGCCGAUACGCCGCCGACACGCCGGAGACAUCCCCUCAAGAAAAAAAACACGCCGGAGACACGAGAAACCCACUCCACCACUCGCAAAGUCGUAACCCUAUUCCCGCAAAAAAAAGAAGGUCGUAACCCUAAACAGCCAGCACUCUCUCUCUCUCUCUCUCUCUCUCUCUCUCUCUCUCUCUCUCUCUCUCUCUCUCUCAGUUUGUUGUGCAGCAGAUUGGAUCGAGGAUUUAGGCCGCUGCCUGGAUUCCGUCGCGGGCAUCUGGACUCGCCUCGCCGCCGCUUGGAGUGUCCGCCGCCGCCGCCUGUUGGCCGUCACCAACAAGGUAUCCUCCGGCCGGCCCCUUCCCAAUCUCUGCUCUCUUCCGGUGGUGUCUCUGGUCCUCCCGCUCUUGCUGGCUUGCUGCGAGCUGAUUCUGGGUGUGCUUUGUGCGUGCUGAUUCUGGGUGUGCUUGCUGCUGAGUGCGUGUGUGCUGGCUGUUAGUUUGUGCUUAAUUACUGCGGCGUGCGUGCUUGCUAGUUGCUGCUCACCUGCUGAUGCUGCGGUUAGUGCUAGGGAGUGAAAUACUGAUAAUUUUUAGUUGAGAGGCUGGGAAGCAUCAAGCAUGUAUCAUUGAGUAAGCAAGCAUUCCCGGGCCUAGAUCGCUGUCGAUCAAGGUAGCAUUAAUCGGAGCGGGAAGAGUGCUAUCUAGUAGUACUACUUACUUUGCUGUUGCCAGGCCGGGUAGGAGUCGUAGAUGCGGAGCCAAGGGAUUUCUCCUUGGCCGCUGAACCUGGCAAGAAACUCCCCCAGAGCUUCGAUGGUCGAGGCAUGGCCGUCGCGGCUGAGGCGGCGGGGAAACUGCAAGAUGCGUCUCUCCAGCCGAUUCUUUUCAGUUAUCAAGUCCGGCAUGGGGUCGACGGAGACGGCAGCGCAAUGGUGCCCCGCCAUAUAUAUGGCAUGCAGGAAACGCCCUCAACUUGGACCCUCUCUUUCUCAGCUCCGAUAUGCUAUAUAUAUGGGAGCGGACGGCCGACUAAAGUUUGAGUAGAAUGUGUGUUCCCUCAAAAAAAGAAGUUUGAGUAGAAUGUGGAUGCCCUCUUCCUGCCAUAUUUAUGCUAUAGAUAUGUGGGAGCCCACGCAAUAGUUGGGGUGGAUCUUGGAACACAAGCAGGCAGGCAUGCAUUCAGGGUCCAACAUGCAUGGGAGGUAAACUUUGCAUUUCUGCUUUCUUGUCAGGCCACCAUCGGAAAGGAGGAAGAUCUAAAGUUCGGGCGGGUUGAGAGCAGCAUCGGAAUAAUCUCUCAGGCUAUAGGGGCACUAGGGGCUCAGCCCCUAGUGCCCAACUCUACUACUCUAAAAGAUCACGAUCGAAGCGAACUUUUGAGACAGGGCAGCAUUCGCCAGAACCAAUGCAAUGUAAUAGCCGAAUAGUCUAAACUUGUACCGUAUUAGACUCGAAAACACAGCCAACCGAAAGAACUAAAACAACACAAGUUUAGAGCCCAUGUUGAUUUGGAGGACGUACGUACACAGGCAGUGUACACAGAAGAGCUAGCAGUUCACCCCUGAUAGCUUUUGGCCCUUUCUCUUUGGGGGGGUUGGUUCCAAGCCCGAGGCAGCUUUUGGCUUUUCGUCAAUUCCCAUCUCCACCCGGCGUAGAUGCAUCCAUAUUGCCAAAUGUGCAGUCGUCGAAGAGGGGGUCUUCGCUCACUUUUGCUCACUUUACCUUUUGCAGACAGGCUUGCGUUGCAUUGCAUGGUGACCUGCAUGUGGCCCCUUCACUCGCUUGUCCGCUCUUCCAACGUAGCAACGCUCCUUUGCUAUAGCCUCCCUGGGAUCUCGAAAGCGGCUAAAACAGUAAUGUGAAAGCACUUGAUAGAGAUAGUUAUGUGAAAGCACUUGAAAUCUUUUUUUUUGAAAGCACAAGAGGUUUUUCUUCUAAGAACACAAAAGUAUCCUUUUUGCAUGAAAAAAUAACAUGAACACGCAUACAAACAUCGAUGUACCGUACGUGCACUGUAGCUAUUCUACAAAUAAAUAUCCAAAAAUAUACUAAUUGGUUUAUUUGCAUGGGACAACCAGGAGGGAAAUCAGCAUUGGGGUACUGCUUGGGCCCACGUAGAUUCAGAAAAGAAAUGGCAUAUCCAUGGUCCCCCGUACUGUUCUAGAAUUAGCUUAAUCUUUAAAGUUUGAGUGAUAAGCUGGCUCGUAUCCCCAUGGAAGUAGUAUUAAUCGGACGGCACCGAGCGUGGGUGCGGGUGGACCAUGGUCCAGAAUCACACCUCUCCGGCUAAAACGAUCUGUGAAAACUAGGGUUAAGCGUGUGCACACCCUAACCGAAUACACAACACGCACGCCUACACACCCUGACAAAUACAACACAUAUACGGUUGGGAAACGCUUCCAGCCGGGGCGCCGGCCGAAAUUUCCGCCGGCCUCGCGCGGGUCGUUGGAUGCAUCUCAAUCGAGCGGCCCUAUUUUACCUUCGCGUGUGUCCCCAUCGACCACUUUUCUUCUUCUUGCUUUAUCUCUUCGCGUAGCCUCAUCCUCCCUUUCUUCUCGCGUGUCCCAGGCUCCACCUACCACAUGACCGCCAUGGAUUGUGUCAGCCGAGCUCAUGCCCUUCCUUCCCCUCUAUCUCUCUCUCUCUCUCUCUCUCUCUCUCUCUCUCUCUCUCUCUCUCUCUCUCUCAGACCGCUUUUCCCGCCAUAGCUCGCCUCUUCCUCCUGGAUUGCGUCGGCCGAGCCCGCCGCUUUGCUGGAUCCGCGACCAUGGCGAGCUGCGAUGGUCACCGUGGGGUGAGCUACAACGGCGGCGUGACGAGCAGGGGCCAUGACCACGGGAUGUUGGGACCACUGGCGCGCAGAAGCUGCAACCUCGUCAUGGGGAGCCGCAACCGUUGAUGCCAGGAGCUACAACCCCUGCCAGCAGAGCAACAGGGACUCAGUAGUCACCGCAGGCACCGCGGUCACCAUGGCCGGUUCCAGCAAAUGUGACUGCUGGUUGCAGCAAACGCGGGCAUGGGUUCCAGCACAAAAUCUCGCUAGUUCCAACACCCGUUGGCCGUGGUUUUUGCUGGAGGUGACUGGCUGGUUGCAGCAAAUGCGGCCACUGGUUCCAGCAUCUGCGAGAUGCGGUUCCAGCAAAUCAUCUCGCUGGUUCCAACAUUUUUCCAUCGAUGUGUCUUUUGCUGGAGACGACGUGGGGGCAUUGUUAUUUUUGCUGGAACCGGCAGCCGCACUGCUACAAUUGUUGGCGCAUUUUGCUACAACCAUCGACGAGGACAAAGCUGCAAUGGCGGGGCGGCGAGGCACCAAGGUGCAACGGCGGGGCGACGAGGUUGAAGGGAGCGACGCCGUGUUGGAACGUCGAGGCAACUUUCCUGCAACCUUAGACGGAUGAAGCUACUAGGGCACGGUUGUGCUGCGGCGAGGGAGGCGUAAGUUUUGCUGGAGCCGGCGGCUUGAUUGGCAGCGAGCACGGCUCGGUGGGGGCUGGAGCAUCACCGCCGGCCAAGUCCCACGUUCCUUGGCCAUGGAUUGUGUUGACCAAGUGUUCGGUAGAGAUGGGGAACGAUUCACUCGCGAAUCAAGCGGUUGGUGUGGGCCUAAUCAAACGGUUGCGCGGUGACCGGCCGAAAUUCGGCCGGUCGACCGGCGCCUAGUACUGCCCUAUACGGUUUAUAUUCUACAAUGUAUGUUUACAAUGUUUAACACUCCCCCUCAAUCACAACUAUCCAAGUUGAGAUUGCGUCAAAAGGCCUCAAGCUGCUUAAGAGUAAGAGGCUUAGUGAAUCCAUCUGCAACUUGAUCUCCAGUAGGUAUGAAGCUAAUAUUCAACAAUUUAUCUGCCACCCUUUCGCGAACAAAGUGAUAGUCUAUUUCAAUAUGUUUAGUCCUGGCAUGAAAGAUGGGAUUAGCAGACAAAUAUGUAGCACCAAGAUUAUCACACCAAAGUGAUGCAGCCUUUGGAUGACAAGCACCCAAUUCUGUCAGCAGAUUCUGAACCCAAAUAAUCUCUGCAGUGGCAUUGGCUAGAGCCUUAUACUCAGACUCUGUGCUUGACCUGGAAAUAGUGGGUUGCUUGCGAGCACACCAAGAUAUCAAGUUACCUCCAAGAAAUACUGCAAGCCUCCUGUUGAUCUUCUGUCAUCAGGACAGCCUGCCCAGUCUGCAUCUGAAAAGGCACUUACUAGCAUUGAAUCUGACUUACCAAGUCUGAGGCCAUGACCCUUGGUUCCUUGAAGAUAUCGAAGUAUCCUCUUAACUGCUGUCCAAUGCACACUAGUAGGGGCAUGUAAGAACUGACAAACUUUGUUUACUGAAUAAGAAAUAUCUGUCCUAGUCAAAGUCAAGUACUGAAGUGCUCCUACAAUGCUCCUAUACCUGGUUACAUCCUCUGCUCCAAGUGCUUCUCCAUCAUAAAGAGACAGUUUUUCAGAAGUAGACAAAGGCGUGGAUGAAGGCUUGCAACCCUUCAUGCUUACUUUCUGAAGUAUUUCUUGCACAUAUUUCCCUUGUGACAACAUAAUCCCAUUCUUAACAUUUUUUACCUCAAUUCCAAGAAAGAAAUGAAGGCUACCAAGGUACUUAAGUGCAAACUCCUUGCCCAAGUCCUUGAGGAGGGCUUCAACAGCAUUAGGUGAAGAACUUGUAACCACAAUAUCAUCAACAUAAAUGAGCAUAAAAAUGGUAAUCAUAUGCCGAUGAUAAAAGAAAAGUGAGGUGUCCCCCUUGGAAGGAGAGAACCCUAGAGAUUGUAACUUUGAUGACAAUCGAGAAUACCAAGCCCUAGGUGCCUGUUUUAAUCCAUAGAGUGCCUUAUCAAGUUUGCAAACAUGACGUGGAAACUUUAAGCUUUCAUACCCAGGAGGUUGUUUCAUGAACACUUCCUCUUCCAGAACACCGUGCAAGAACGCGUUCUUUACAUCUAGCUGUCGAAUGCACCAGUUUCUAGACACUGCAAUUGAGAGGAUUAAUCUGAUAGUAGCUGCUUUGACUACAGGACUAAACGUGUCCUCGUAAUCAAUCCCAUACCUUUGCUUAAACCCUUUGGCAGCCAAGCAUGCCUUAUACCUGUCAACAGUGCCAUCAGAUUUCUGCUUGACCUUGUAGACCCACUUGCAGUCAAUGACAUUCCUCCCCUUGACUGGAGGAACCAACCGCCAUGUUUUGUUCUUCAUAAGAGCAUCAUAUUCCUCAUCCAUGCCUCCUUCCACCGACGUUCUCCUAGAGCUUCUUCCAAGUUUUGCGCGGUUCACCUGUGGCACAAAAGGAGCCCCAACGAACACAACCAUCUUUAUAAAGCUUAGGCUUAAUAAUACCACUCUGUGACCUGGUGUGGGACCGUGGAGGAGGAGGCGGAGCUGGACGUGAGAUAUGAUGUUGAAGACGAUUUGAAGAAGAAGACACAGCGGAUCCGGAAUCCGCAGAAAAUCCACCAGAGGACUCCUGUUGGAGCUCCUGUGAUGGCUGAAGCAGAUCAGCAUCGAGGCGCGCGCCAGCCUCCCCGAAACUGCCACUUGGAGCCAUCAGCGACGCGGCAGGCGAUGGAGCACGAUCGCCCAAUCGGGCAGCCCCGCUCGUCCCAGAGGGCAGCCGACCGAGGCCAUGCAGUGGGGACCCACCUGGUCCCGCCGCAGGCGCGGGAGGUGGCCGACCGACGCCAUGCAGAGGGGACCCACCUGGUCCCGCGACAGGCGCAGCCCGCGGGUUGGGCAGCGGCGCGGAUCCCGCAGGUGAUCCGCCUGACAUGCCUGACGUAGCAGAUCCCGACGGGAUCCCGCCCUGAUCCACUCCGGGAUCAGCAUGCAGAUCUUCUGCGGCUGGAAAUGUAGACUCCGUGGCCUGCAUAAAAUCAUGCAGAUUUUCUUCCAUGUUUGCACUAUUAUCCUGCACACUUUCAGCAGAGUUUUGAUCAAAGGAAUUAUUGGGCAUUGACACAUGAUCAUCAGCAUCGUCUACGCCCCCGAGGACAAAGUUGGGUGAUGGCAGGAGAUGGGAGGGAAGAAGAACAAGUUCUUUACGAAGUUGUGCGCCGGCGCUGGGGUGAAGUUUUGCAGAGGGAAAAACUUGCUCAUCGAAAACCACAUCAAGGGAGACGUAGAUACGACCAGUGGCAACAUCCAAACACUUGUAGCCUUUGUGAAGACUACUGUACCCAAGAAGCACACACUGUUUCGAGCGGAACUCAAGCUUAUGUUUAUUGAACGGGCGAAGGUUGGGCCAGACGGCACAACCAAAAGUGCGAAGGAAGGUGUAAUUUGGUUUAGUGCCAAAAAGAUGCUCAAGACGGGUCUGAUUAUUGAUGACUCUACUAGGAACACGAUUUAUGAGAUACAUCGCCGUGAGAAAUGCCUCGUCCCAAAAUUUUAGAGGCAUAUAGGCAUGAGCAAGAAGGGAGAGACCAACCUCCACAAUAUGGCGGUGUUUACGUUCAGCGGAUCCGUUUUUCUGAUGAGCAUGUGGACAGGAGACAUGGUGAGUGAUGCCUAUGCGCUCAAAAAACGAAUGAAGUUUUUGAUAUUCACCGCCCCAGUCCGUUUGCAUGGCAAGAAUUUUGCAAUCAAAAAGACGUUCAACAUGUUGCUGAAAGAGAUGAAACUUUGCAAACACAUCAGAUUUAUUCUUAAGCAAAUAGAUCCAACUGAACUUACUAAAAUCAUCAAUGAAAGUGACAUAAUACUUUCGUCUGCCAACAGAAACGGGUCCAGGACCCCAAACAUCUAAAAAAACUAGCUCUAAAGGAUCCUUUGAUUCACUAGUAGAGCGAGAAUAGGGAAGUUGAUGGCUCUUGGCCAUCUGACAUGAAUCACACACAAGAAGAUUAUCUUGUUUAUUCGAUACUGGAAGAUUAAAAUCUCGAAGAAUUUUCUGGACCACCGGAAAGGCAGGAUGCCCUAGGCGUUUGUGCCAUCUUGAAGUAGAUGGGUUGACCACACUGAGGGCUUGUCGAGGAGGAGCAUCAUGGCGGCCAGAAACAGGAAACAGGCGACCUCUAGUCCUAUUUUGAAGAAUGGUUCUCCGAGUGGCCCGAUCCUUAGCAAAAAAAAAUCGGGGUAAAUUUCCAAGAAAGCAUUGUUAUCUUUGAUAAGAUUAUAAGCAGAAAGUAGGCUUUGAUCGGCUUGAGGAGCAUGAAUGAUAUUAUUCAGUUGCAAGGAGCCAUGAGGGGUAGUAAGAACCGAAUGACCAAUGUGGGCAAUGUCCAUACCUUGACCACUCGCAGUGUGGAUUUGUUCCGUGCCGGUGUAGCGGUCGUGAAACGCAAGUUUCUCCAGUUCUCCCGUCACGUGAUCUGUUGCACCAGUGUCGAGAUACCAAUUGGUAUCAACUCCGUAGGAGUGGGCUGCGUUUGCCGAGCGGUGUCCUCCACCACCACCGCCUCCUGCGGGGUUGCGGACAUUGUUGUUGAAGUUGCGAUCGAAGCGUUUCUUGCAGCGCCAUGCGCCGUGCCCUUCAAGCUUGCAAAUCUGGCACUUCUCGCGCUCGCGGUCACCGCGGUCACCACCUCCUUGCCGUGGACCACCGGGGUUGUCAGGGUAGUGAGCGCCCGCGUUGUUGUUGAUGUAGCCGCGGGAGCCACUUCCACUGUUGCCGCCGCCCCUUGCGUUGCCGCGACCUCCACCCCGUGCCGCCAGAUUGGCGGAGUGGAAGGCGGUGUUUUGGGCGGCAAUGCGGGCUUCAGCCGACAGCAGCAGGGAGAAGAGCUCGCUGAGACCGAUUGGCUGCUCGGUGGCGGUGCGGGUGGAGAUGGUCGAGACGAAGCCGUUGUAGUCGGGUUCGUGGAGAAGGCCUUGCAGGAUGUGAUCGACGACGUCGUCUUCAUCCAGGGGCUUGCCUGCGGCUGCCAACUCGUCGGAGAUGAUCACCAUCUUGGUGAAGUAGGCAGCGGCGGACAUGUCCCCUUUGCGGGUGUGCUUGAUGGCGGAGCGGAGCUGGAUAACCCUCGCCCUUGACUGCGAAGAGAAGCUCUGCAGCAGGCCAGAUCGAGGCGGCGGUGGUGUGGGAGCUGACGUGUAGUAAAACCUCACGGGAGAGCGAUGAGAUCAAAAACGUGAGGAUUUGCUGGUCUUGGGUAACCCACACAGCGUUCUCAAGGUUCGGCGAGGAUGUGAUCUCCUUCUUGCCGGCGACGUCCUUCUCGGAGUUCAGCACGGCGGCGGGCUCCUUGAUCGAGCCGUCCAGAUAGCCCAUCAGCCCCGCCCCCUUGAUGUGUGGCAAGACCUGUGCCUUCCACAGCAGGAAGUUCUCUCGGGUCAGCUUUUCGGUGAUGGUGUGACCGAGAGAGGCGAUGGAGGGCGUGGCCAUGGCGACGGAUGAGGAGGAGCUCGACAUCUAGAUGUGUUGGAAAAGGUAGCCUCUGUAUACCAUGUGAAAACUAGGGUUAAGCGUGUGCUCAAUGCAGGGACGCGUGCGUGUUGAUAUAAGGGCCGAAGCCAGGAAUAGAUACAAGGUUAGUUAGGUCUCGGAUUGAUCUCCAAGUUAGCUAACAACUAGAUAAGAUCAUAUCUCAGAGACCUAACCGAAUACACAACACGCACGCCUACACACCCUGACAAAUAUAACACAUAUACGGUUUAUAUUCUACCGUGUAUGUUUACAAUGUUUAACACGAUCGAUCUUGUGCUGCCACGGUAUUGCAAUAUCAUUGAAAUUAGGGACCAGCUAUAGAUCAGUUGACUGAAAAUUCUAAAAAAAAAAUUACCUUUUUUGCAUGCAGUACUAGAGUGUGUGGUGUGCUGUGUGCGUGCCGCGCGUGAGCUAGGUAGCUAGCUUCGGAUGCUUCAGCUUGGUCGUGCUGUGCCAUGACAGUGGAGCUAGCACGGCCAUGACAGAAACAAUGGAUCUAGCUAUCACGAACAUUAGAGCACGCCCGCGGACACUGACCGGGCACUCCCUAUAUCUGCGCCUCCGCACCCGCGUAUCUCAUAUUUCGUCCUCUAUAUUCAUACUAAACCUUGCAACGUCAAUAGAAACUACGUAGAUCAUAAGCGGACAUACAAAUGCACAUUCGGUUCAUCAAAAGAUCACAGCCGGAUCAUCAAAAGAUAGCCAAAGUUUACAUAAUACGGCGGACAAAUUCAAACUACAUCUAAAAACUUGAAAUUAAGACGGAUCUUCACCACUUCCUCGCCGGCCCUUUGCCCUUCCGAUCGCCGGCGCAACUGUAGGAGUCCGGAGCAGGAGGUGGGUCCACGUCGGACCCCUCGGAGGAGGAGGAAUCGGAGAUGACGAUGUAGCCUUGCAAGCGUCGAAUGACGCGGUCUUGCUUGUGCUUGAGCUUGGCCACCCUCGUCGCCACCCUCGCCACCUCCCGCUCAUAUUGCUCAAUGCCGAGCCGGAGCUGCUCGGCGUUGAGCCUCCGGAGCCGUCGGGCCUUCGUCUCUGCCUCAGUCAGUGACCGGUGGCACGCCCACUCGAAGAGACAGUCCUCCUCGUCGGGCACCCGGCAGUGGUGGGCGGACUGCACAGACCCGUCGGACCCGCCCGCCAUCUACCUUGCCCUCUGCCUCUUGCGGCGGGCGGCACAUGCCUUCGACUCCGGAGUCUACAUCCGCGGCGUCGGCGGCGCGGGUACUAGAACCCAAUGCUGCCCGCACGGAGUAGCGGUCGGAGGGGAGGAGGUCGUCGGGCGGGUGGAGCAGAUCGGGCAGGCCUCGCAGAUCCAUGCGCGGGUCGGGAAGGGUCGGCGCUGCAGCGACAGGCGGCAGGUGGCGUCGCACGGGACACGGAGCUGCCGCCCGUAUCGACACGCGAGCGCUCGAGCGUGAUACAGAGCGCUAGUUCCUCCUUGUCUCCGAAGCUGCCGUUGGAGUGGCUGCCGGUUUUGGACAUGCUUGUCGGCACUAGGGAUUUGACGGAUUGGGGAAACGAGAGCGUCAGAGAGGGGAGCGGAGCGGAGUGAGUUAGGGUUUCUGCCAGACAAGGGUGUUUGUGGGGUCGGGGUGGGCCAACGGUGGGCCGGGCUCCGGGCCGCCUCAUAUCCAUCCCUCGGCCAGCCACCAAAACCGCCCAGCAGGAAACCGACAUUGCAACGAAGGAGGCGACGACCUACUCCUCCUCGGCUCCUCCGGUACCGGUUCUCUAUUAAAAGGAUGACUUAAUAUCCCUUUGUUUCCUUAUGGACCUCUGCCACGGGAGGGUAGGACAAAAAAUGUCGUGCAAUUUUUUUUUCCAUAAGAACGUAUAACUAUAGACGGAAUAUGUGUCUACAUUACAUUGAUGAAUUAGAGUUAGUUCUGUGUCGUCCUAGGUUAUGGUUGUUAUAUAUAUGAUGAAUAUUAUCCAAUGAAAUCAUCGAUCCAAUGCCUACAAACUUUUUACAUAUUGAUCUUUGCUAGGUUACUAUUGUUGCUGCUACUGUUACAACUGCUACAAAAUUGUUGCUACUGUUGUUACUCUCACUAUUGAUAUUGUUACUAUCGCUAUCAAAUUAUCAUACUAUUGUGCUACUGAUCAUUCUACUGCAGAUAUUUAGUUCCCUGGAUGUGAUUGAAUUGACAACUCAACUGCUAAUAGUUAUAAAUAUUCUUUGACUCUCCUUGUGUCGAAUCAAUAAAUUUCAGUUGAAUACUCUACCCUCGAAAACGGUUGCGGUCCCCUAUACUUGUGUGGUUAUCACGCCCGUGACGCAGCGGUGGCCGGCCAGCACGCCCGUGACGGCCGUGUGGCUGGGCGGCCGGCCAACACGCCCGGACGCGCAUCCGCGGCCUCGCGCGCGUCCACCUGUGAUUCAAAGGCUGUUGCGCUCGAGAUGUGGUGUGGCUUCUUGCCUCCGAGCGAGCUAGUUCGCGGUGGCCAGUGCGGCCGCGGAUGCCAGUUCAAGAAGGCCAGCAUGCGCAGCGGCCUCGCAGGCCAGCACACACAUGGAAGCCAGCAUGCGCGGCGGUGCGCACGCGGAGGCCAGGUCAGCCGUGUGGCGCGCCUCAUGCCCAAGGGAACUCCGCCCAUGCCGCUGUCGUCGCGGGCUCCGGCAAGCCCUCCUUUAUAGCUUCAGUCGUCGCGAUGCGCUUCCUCCUUCGCCUGCGCCGUGACCGGUAGUGCCGGUUCCUCUCGAGUUCAUCCAGAGAGAGAGGGGGUGGGGGGGUGGCUGCAUGUGGGGUCAAACGGGCUGGCUAUGACGUGGAGGGAGGUGCCCGGGGCAGCCGCAUAUUGCUCCUAGAUUUUUAAGAUGGGUUUAAGGUACGCCGAUCAGUCCGGACUUCUAAGAGACUGAGGGGUCCUGUUGGGUCAGCCCUUUUUGACCGGGCACUGAUUGGGCGGACAUUUAGGAGGAGAAUAGGGGGUCCGACAAAAAAAUUGAAGUGGGAGUUAGCCAAGGAACAUUCGCAUGCAUAUAAGGUAGGUUUCAACAUCCGACAUGCCCGAUAGUUAUUAUUUCGGAUUAACAAGUUUGAUACAUUAUGCAUGAUAAUGGGGUUCGAUAACGUCGAUGACAGGUUAAGGUAAAAGUCGAUAACGGGCUCGUAUAAGUGUUCAGCAACAUUAUGUGCUGUACUUCGGUUUCAGCAUCAUUGCUGAUAAAUCCAAAUUCAGGUCCUUCAUUAUAAAUCUUCAUUGUAGCAGUUUGUGUUGUGAAAUCUUUUUUUUUUCGGAACACAUUUACAAUGACUGAAACAAUCAACAAUGUCUGAAAACCUUCAAAGCAGGACUUGUCUGAAUCCAAAAAGGCUUUCCAAGUUCUGAAAUUUGUUCCCAAAUGUGAGGAUUUGUAAAGUCUGGACCUGUGUGUUUUUGUUUGGAAGCCCGUACUGGACUUGUUGCUCAUAUUAUUUUGUUCUGAACUUCUGAAAUCAAGGGGACAAAUUUGUCCACGCAUGGUGCUAUCUGCCAUGAGAGAAUUGCUCCAGAAACAAAAAAAAGUUCCUACUGACAGCACGUUAACUUCACACAAGCACACAGGCAUACAAGUAACGAUGAACAUUAACAGACACAAUAAUUGCCAAGGUUCACUUCAGUUCUGACAUUAAAACGAGGCAAGUACUCAGCUAGAGUUAACCAAGGUUCAACAUCCUGACAUGAGGGGCAGCAAAACGAUAACCGGAAAACAUUUUAUGUCUACUGAUUUACCCAGACAACGAAAGCGGCGAUGACAGUCUUACGAGCUCUAGUUCUUGAUCUUCUUCUUGGGCCUCAGCUGGUUGCUGUGGCCACACUUCUUCUUGCGGCAGUUGACAGCCCUUGGAUGCAGCCUGGCGUAGCACCUGAGGAAAGAUGGAACAGGAAUUUAGCUGAUAUGACAAAUCACAAAGGAUGCAGGCAAUUAUGCUAAAUGGUAAAUCUUUAUAGGAGACAAGUAGGGAGACACAAAUUCAUGGUAACUGACAAGAGAAUUCAAUCAGAACAAAAUGCAAGAAGAUUGGCACAAGAGAAUUCAAGUUCAAGAAGAUUGGCUGGUCAGACAGAAUUUAUGCCUCAAAUGGUUGUAGCUCAUAAGGUGACCCCUCGUACAUCUAAUUGGAUCAUCAUUCCAGCCAACGCAACAAUUGUUUGAGAACAAUACACAGAAAGCAAAUUAUUUGCAAACAAGUGAAAACAAUCCAAGAUCAGCCAAGGACAGUAACUUGAAUGUGUCAUAUGACAAGAAACAAAAACUAUUUAACACACGUUUCUAGGUUCAUGAUGUAGCAGAUUGUUCGAGGCCAUCAGAGCACAGAAAAUCUAAGCGGCACGGAGAACUGCACUUGUUAUCGCCAACCUUCAAUGCAAAGAUUCGCCACUAUAUCAGGCCCCUUUGCUCUGCAAAUUGGCUAUCUAUUUCCAAAAUUUCCAGACUAACGAGUAUUAAUAACUACAUAUUUUUUAGAGUGGUUAAACAUGUAGCAGAUUGUUCGAGGCCGUCAUAGCAUAGAAAAUCUGAGCAGCACGGAGAACUGCAUUCUGUAUCGCCAACCUUCAAUGCAAAGAUUCACCACCAAAUCAGGCCCCUUUGCUCUGCAAAUUGGCCAUCCAUUUCCAAAAUAUUCCUACCAACAAUGAAAUGACAAAUAUAUAUUUUUGGAUUGGUUUGUUAAGUAGCUCCAUGCUAAAAUUUGAUUGACUACCAAAUGUUUUGGAUUUGUUUAUGAUGUAGCAGAUUGUUCGAGGCCUUCACAGCAGAGCAAGUCUGAGCGGCACGGAGAACUGCAUUUGUUAUCGCCAACCUUCAAUGCAAAGAUUCACCACUAUAUCCGGCCCCUUUGCUCUGCAAAUUGGCUAAUCCAUUGCCAAAAUUCUCAAACUUAAGUUUAAUGACUAAAAGAAAUUAGAUUAGUUUGUUAUGUAGCAGAUUGUUCGAGGCCAUCACAGCAGAGCAAGUCUGAGUGGCACGGAGAACUGCACUCGCUAUCGCCAACCUUCAAUGCAAAGAUUCACCACUUAUCAGGCCCCUUUGCUCUGCAAAUUGGCUGUGUAGUUGCAAAAUAUUCCAAGCUACAUUGAAAUGACUAAUAAUUUCUUUAGAUUAAUUUGUUAUGUAGCAGAUUGUUCGAGGCCAUCACAGCAGAGCAAGUCUGAGUGGCACGGAGAACUGCAGAUGUUAUCGCCAACCUUCAAUGCAAAGAUUCGCCACUAUGUCAGGCCCCUUUGCUCUGCAAAUUGGCUAAUCGGUUUCCAAAAAUUUCAAACUAACGUUUAAAUGACUACAGGUUAUUUUUUAGAUUGCUUCAAGAUGUAGCAGAUUGUUCGAGGCCGUCACAGCAGAGCAUGUCUGAGCGGCACGGAGAACUGCAUUUGUUAUUGCCAACCUUCAAUGCAAAGAUUCACCACUAUAUCAGGUCCCUUUGCUCUGCAAAUUGGCUACAUGCUCCAUAAUUAUUCCGACCCAAGUUUGUAUGACUCCAAACAUCAGACGUACGGGGACUUAGCUCAUCUAACCGAAUCAUCAUUCUAACCAUCACACUCGCACAAGCAUAACACAGAUGCAAACAAACUAUACCGAAACUAGCCAAUAUAGCAAUCAGAAACCAAAGAAUGAUGCGCCACACAACACAAUAGGGAAUUUCCCCGCCGUUGAAAAUCAGCUGCUGAAACGUGCGAGGCAGGAGACAAAGUAUAGGCGGGCGGUAAAUCUCCCCGCCAUUGAAAAUCAACUGCUGAAUGGUACUACGCAGAUGACAAAGUAUAGGCGGGUGAGUAAUCAAUCAGCCAACAACAAUCCCUCAAUCGUCUACGCAUCCCAUCGUCCAUACACGAAUCGAGCAUAAUCACAAAGAAUAAGCAAUCGGCGAGAUGUAAUAAACGAAGAAAAGAUGGGAGUAAAAUAUUCUUACUUGCGGCAGAUCAUCUUCUCCUGGUUGUACUUGCGGGCGAGGGCCUGGAGCGAGGGCUCGAUGAUGCCCCCGCGCAGGCGGAGCACGAGGUGCAGCGUCGACUCCUUCUGGAUGUUGUAGUCGGCCAGCGUGCGCCCGUCCUCCAGCUGCUUCCCCGCGAAGAUCAGCCGCUGCUGGUCCGGCGGGAUCCCUGCACACACGCCCACACAACACCACAAGAAAAUCAAGAAUCAGAAAAGCUCGACGGCCGGCCGGCCAUGGCCAAAGAAGAGAUCUUUCUUUGCGAAAAGAAGAAAUAAAGAACUGACCCUCCUUGUCCUGGAUCUUGGCCUUGACAUUGUCGAUGGUGUCGCUGCUCUCGACCUCGAGCGUGAUGGUCUUGCCCGUCAGGGUCUUGACGAAGAUCUGCAUCUCG
RNAcentral lists this long non-coding RNA (81538 nucleotides) under Triticum aestivum (bread wheat). RNAcentral describes it as "long non-coding RNA (TAES_LNC003982)". The stretch from base 41007 to 41098 matches the Rfam family "Small nucleolar RNA SNORD96 family". The record is from RNAcentral. Lineage: Eukaryota; Viridiplantae; Streptophyta; Magnoliopsida; Poales; Poaceae.